UGUUUUGGAAGUUCGUUGGAGAGGCUGGUGUAAGGUGGUUGACUGCAUUGUUCAAUGAAAUUUUCAGGACGGCAAAGAUGCCCGAGGCGUGGAGGUGGAGUACCAUGAUCCCCCUCUAUAAGAAUAAGGGGGACAUUCAGUGUUGCAAUAACUAUAGGGGGAUUAAGUUACUGAGUCACUCUAUGAAGAUAUGGGAGAGAGUGGUCGAGGUGAGGCUGAGACGGAUAGUGUCUAUCUCGGAAAACCAGUUCGGAUUUAUGCCCGGCCGCUCGACGACGGAGGCAAUCCACCUGGUACGGAGGUUGGUGGAGCAGUAUAGGGAGAGGAAGAAGGAUCUGCACAUGGUGUUCAUCGACCUGGAAAAGGCGUACGACAAAGUCCCCAGGGAAGUACUUUGGAGAUGCCUGGAGGUGAGUGGAGUACCGCAGGCAUAUAUCAGAGUAAUUAAGGAUAUGUAUGAGGGAGCGAAAACCCAGGUGAGGACGGCGGGAGGAGACUCAGUUAAGUCAUAACUUUUUACAGUAAUCAAGAAUGUCAUUAAUAAAUGGAGGUGAACAAUUCUGAUUUUUUGUCUAACUCAUUCAAGUUCAAUCCUUUAUAAAUAGGUCCCUCCUUAUUCAAUCGUUCGUUCUACUACACACUAUUUAUUCAUUGCUCUUGUUACACCUUCAACUACUUUCUCUUCAAGGACUUGAUAGCUUUUUCUGUCUCUAGUAAGUUUUUUUCUUGAUUUUUGUGUAAAUAUUCGUUGUAUAUUACAUUACAUUUGAAUUCUUUCUUUUCUUUACUUUUAUUUUUACGUGUAUUUUGUCAACUUAUGCGUUUUCUAGAUAUGGCUGUUCCUGUGUGGGAUGUCGCUAUUUUACGAGACGCCAUGCGAGAACUGCAGAAGGAGGUUCAUGACCUGCAUUGGGAGUUGGCCGCCGUCAGAGUAAGGAUGCUGUGGGAGAUCCGCAGGCUGAGGAGGGCGCUGCUCCUACCCGUUGAAGAUUGGCCGGCUGGCCAUACAAAUAAUAAUGAUGAUGAUAAUAAUUAAGCUUUUUUUUUAAUUUUAUCUAUGUAUUGUUUUUGUUUUUUUUAUAAAAAAUUAUGUUUGAUGCACUUGACUUUUUAUUUCUUAUUUAAUUUUCGUGUUGUCUAUUUCUAUUUUUUAACUAAUGACAUGUCUACAAUUAAGAAAUAAUGUGAUUUCAGUAUCAAUAGCAAGAACAUAUGAGUUAUCUGUUAGGUUUGUGUGUGACAGGAGCUGUAUUUUGUUGUUCGAAACAUAUUAAUAAUCUGAUGAAACAGAUUAUUUAUCUGUUGAAACAGAUUACUAAUCUGGCGCAAUAGAAUACCCAUCUAUUCGAUUCAUAUUACGGGCACCUAGAACCCAUAAACAUGAAUCCAAUAUGAGUCUACUGUUACAACAGAACAUUUAUCUGGUGCCACAGAUAAUGGAUCUGUUUAAACAGAUUACUCUUGUAUUGCAUUCAUGUUCGCGUACAAGCUAUUAUUGAAAAAAUAUCACACUAGCAGUUAUCCAGAUUCAACUAAAAAGCAUAAUCUAACUUACCAAAGUCUUCUCUCAAGUAAAUUCCAAAGUUGAAAGUGAUUUACGAAAUAAAAUUUGACAUAAGAAUUUGGUCAAAGAGCAGCAGUUGGGAUAACAACAACAACAACAACAAUGGUCAACAAGAAGAAUAUGAAGAUGAUAAUAAAGUAUAAGAUGAUGAAAAUGAAUCAGAAGAUGAUGAAUAAAACAGCAGCAACAAUGAACAACAAAUAUCGCGAAGAGAGAGAAAAUAACAACGAAUGAGGAGAGAGACAAAAGCGUCUUUUUUCCCUUCGUUCCCCGUUAUAUAUUAACUAACAUUUGGAUCGAAGUGUAAAUUUAAAAACUUAUGGGUUAUUUUGAAAUUUUCCAAACCUUUUAAAAUCAUAAUUAAGUAAUUGUCAUUUCUACUCAAUUAUUAAGACUUAUAUCACCUAGACCUCAUUUUAAGUUUCUUUUGUCACCCGUGGCCCAAACCCCAGAGUCUUGAUAAGAAAAACUGAUAUUGAUGAAUCAUGUCAGCAGGGGGUGAAAAGGACCAAACAUGUCGAAUCUAUCACUUUCUUAAUUAAAGACAGAUUUGCCAAUUCGCUGAUAUGUGGUUAUGGUAUAUAGUAGGAGAAAUUAUUCUUUUUAAAAAAAAAAAAAAAAAAGCUUAUCCAACUAGAUAAAGGGACCACCAAAUUAAAGAUGUCGUUCACGGGGUGGGUCGUUCUUUAACUAGAUGUUUCGAGUUCGAGUCCUUUAACUAGAAGUUUCGAAAUCGAGUUUUAUAUAAAAAAAAUUUUUGAUGAGGAGCGUUUACUUCUUAUUGGCCCUAAGCUGCAUGAAUUUGAAUUAAUUAGACUCAAUACAAAUAUCAAACGUCGAAUGAGGAAAAAAAAACUAGAUAAAGGGGAGGAUAGUGAAAGUUUGGUAUCUGUUGAGCUAAAAUGACAUAAAAUAUUCGCAAUAUGAAGUCAUGUUAUCUGAUUUGGGCCAAUUUUGCACAACCUUUUUAAAAAUAAUAAUCACAUAAUUAAGAUUUUUAGUAUACUUUAUACAUAUCUUAUUUUUCUUUUCGACUAAAAAUAUGAGACUUUAUUGGUAAAUAUUAUAUGUAGUAAGCCACCUAGUAGUUUUAUAAAAGCAAUAAAUUGGGCUCCGUAGUCUCAUCAAAUCAUUACUUGUGAUAUCAAUUGAUGGAAAAAACAAUACACAAAACCACGCUAUAUAUUAUCCAUUUAAAUCAAAUGAUAUUUUUAAAAGAAAAAUAUCUUAUACCAUUAGAAUAUUACGAGAUCAUAUAUAGAGCUUUUAUUAUUUAUGUAUAGAUAAUAUUUGUUCGCACAUUAGUAAUAUCACUAAACAAGUGAGAAAAAGACCCCUCUCACUAUCUUCCCUUACCCCUGGCUUCGACAUCAGCCAUGGAUCGAACCUUAAUUCCACCCCUGUUACCAAACCCUCCAAUACUGUCAAAUCCCAAAGAAAUAACCAUGGGAGAAUCCUUCCCUCCUCCACUCUUGUACAAAGAAGUUACCAUGGGGAAAAUCAUAUCCCCUGAGUCGAGCAUAGAUCUUUGUCCUACAGCCAUGGAAAGGGACCUGGGGAACACGGAUUGAGGUAUCCAUUUGACGGAGGAGGAAAAAAGAAGGCUCUAUGCCAUUUGGAUCCACUCUAUCCUAGUAAAACCAAUCAACAUAAAAUUCAAUCAUCAAUUUCUCAAAAGGAUGCGCUUCUACACGGCAAAAGUAGCCAUGGCAGAAAGCCAAGUGUCCAUUCUCCAAGGAGGGCCUUGGUUCAUUACUGGUUCCUUCAUUUCAGUUCGAAAGUGGGAACCCAACUUCAUACCGGCCAAAUCCAAGGUUGACUCCACUUCUAUCUGGGUCAGGCUGCCUCAACUCCCAACGGAGCUGUACGAUGCUCUCAUCCUACAAAGGAUGGGCAAUGAAAUCAGGCAACUGCUAAAGGUUGAUACAUGCAUAUCAGCAGCACUAAGGGGAAGGUACGCAAGGAUUUGCGUCCAAAUACCCCUCGACACCCCAGUAGCAACGUCAGUCUCCAUUAACCACCACAUCCAAUCCCUAAUCUAUGAAGGGAAGGGCUUCCUGUGCAAGAACUGUGGAAGACUAGGCCACAAAACGCCCAACUGUGCAUACCCUCUCCGACCCUCGCACCAAUAUCUAAAUGGAACUCUACAGGCAGACCAAUCCACCAGUGAGACGGAGCAGUCAAAAUCAGUAAUAAGCAACUCCAACGACUGGCAGACGGUUCAUUUCACCAAGAAAAAGAAACAAACGAGAACACAUACUCUCUCGAGCACUAAGGUAACACCCAUCAUCAAGGUUAAAACCUUUGAUGCGGUGUCAGGUAAGUUCCUCAAACCUAGUGCUACCAUGGCGGCACCGUCGAAGUCUCACCCUCACCUGCUGAGACUUCUCAGGUUGGGCCAGCCCAUGACCAGAUCUCCAAGCCCAAUACCUCGCCUAAGCCUGCCUUGGGGGAAAAGGAUCAGAAAUUAAAUAAUGGGCCACCUAAAGGGAAAGCCCAUCUAAAUAAGGCGUUUAGGGGCCUGACCUACUUGGGCCUUACAGAACCCAGCCCACCUCAACUUAUUCCCCUUCCCCCAAAAUUUAAUUCUUUUUCUUUUAACUUGGAUGAAAAAUUAAAAGCCUCUACCACGAGUGGGACAUUUACUUUACACACUGGCAUAGGCAAUCAUGAGUCUCCUCUCAUAACUGUGGGAAACCUUUUCACUUCCCGCAGUGAUGUGAUUGAGAAUGUCCUGCCUUUAACAGUGCAUUUAAUGCUGGUGGAGUUCCCCAAGAGGAAACUCUCCAAUUACCUCCCCCCUCCCCCCCUCCCGCUCUUUACAACCAGAUUACCAUCCCCACAGCUCUACUAUCUUAGGACCACCAACUAAUAUCAUGGUUGGAAGUGUGUCUAUACAACCAAACAGUCCUCCUGCACCUAGAAUGGGAAAGGAGACAAUUUACCAUUCUAAUCCAGGACCCUCAAUACCUGGCCUAGCUAGCUAUGGUGAUCCUGAAUCAGGGCCUACAAACAUACGGGCUCAAUGUUUGGAUGGCCACCUUAUUUCACGUAAUCAACUCUCCAAUUCAGAAGGAGCUGAACAUGGAGUCCUUAGCCAGCAUAAUGAACUAACUCAACCUAGGACUCCCUUUCUUUCCUCUACACGAUCCUGCAAUGAUGCUAUUGGGUCCAGCUUUUGUGCCUCCAACUAAGGAACUCCAGCCCCCACUCUUUCAAGAAUCAACAUAGGGCACUCCAUCAACCCCCUCCCCAUCUAACCUUAGAGAGAAUAGAGAGGAUGAAUACGCUGGAAACCCUAAGAGCAAGCAACAAGGACAUAGAAGAAUUCUUGUCCAAGCUUAGGGUGCCAAGAACAGAAAUCCUCAAUCUAGUAGAGCCCCUAAGUCUAGAGUUCACAGAGCCAGUUUAGGAGAUUGUGAUCAUCCUGAUAUCCCUAGGGUUAGCAGGAUUAGGCAUAAAAAUAAGCCCCACAAACCCUAUAAAAGAAUAGACCACCAAGGUCAUACUCAACUCCUCACCAAGAAAAUAAAGUCUCCUUUUUGGACACCUACCUCCAAUCCCAAGAGAAAGGACAAGAUAGCUGCAAUAGAAACUCACCACCCUCUACACUCCAAAAUGAAGAACUGCAUUGCGUGGAAUGCUAGAGGGGCCAAGAACUCUGAGUUCAGAAAGCACUGCAGGGCUAUGGUUAACAUGCACAAAUCAUGCAUACUUGCCUUGCUUGAAACCAAAAUGAAUGAGCACCAAGACCUUUGUGAGAAAUUUGGAUACCCAAGUUAUAUCCAAGCUGAAGCAAAUGGUAACUCUGGAGGUAUUGUCAUCAUGUGUAAAGAAGACUUUGUCUCUAUUUCUUCAAUCUCUAUCUCCCCCAGGUUAUCAAUACCAAAGUUAAGGUAAAAUCCCCCCACUCCUCUUGGUUUCUUAGUAUCAUUUAUGCUAGCACAGAUUUUCAGUACAGACUUGAUCUCUGGGACUAGCUCUCUUCUUUCUCUGAUAACUCCAUCCUCUCUGAAGGCAAGAGCUAGGUUAUUGGGGGUGACUUCAAUGAAAUCCUUAGGGCCUCUAAAAGAUUUGGAGGCUCAAGUAUUAACAUGAAUAGGGCUAACCUCUUCAUAAACUGCAAAAAUUACUGUAAGCUUAUAGACUUUGGUUUCAGAGGCAGCAAGAAUACCUGGUCCAAUAUGAGAUAUACAAACAGACACUGUCUCAUCCUUGAAAGACUGAACAGGUUCCUUGCUAAUGGUGAAUAGGUGCAUAUCUACCUAGAAGCUACCAUCACUCACCUCCUAAGAACUCAUUCUGACCACUCCCCUCUCCUUCUUAAUGUGGGCUCCCCCAACAACCAGAGAAAACCCUUCAGGGUUGAGUUCAUGUGGCUUAUUCAUCAAGAUUUCCCUAAUCUCAUAAAAGAUUCCUUUCAAGAUUGCCCUUGCAUAACAAUGGCUACCACUGAGUUUGAAAACAGGGCUAGAGAUUGCAAUAAGCUUAUCUUUGGUAACAUCUUUGCCAAGAAAAAGCACUUGCUUGCAAGUUUAUCUGACAUUCAGAAGUCUCCUAACUACCCUACCAGUCGCUUCCUCCAUGGGCUGGAGGCUGCUAACCUUUUGAAAGAGUUCAAUCAUGUCCUCACCCUGGAGACUGAGUUCUGGAAGCUUAAGUCUAGAAUCUCUUGGCUCCUUAAAGGUGACACCAACUCAAUAUUCUUCCAUACUUCCACCCUCAACGGGAGGAGAAGGAAUAAAAUCAACUCCCUCACUGAUAAUUGUGGCAACUAGCAUUAUCAACACUCUGACAUUGAGAAAUUGGUGUCCUCUUAUUAUGCCAAUCUUUACACUACUGAGCAUUCCCUAGGUUAUCUUGCUACCCAGUCCAAUCCCUCUUCCAAGGGUAGCAUUAACUCUCUCCAUCAUGAAUCCCUCCAGGCAACCCCUUCCAUGAAGGAGGUUAAAAGAGCCAUUUUCUCCUUCACCCUUUCAUUUACCAAAAAUUUUGGGACAUUUUGGGUCCUCCUUUGUUUAAAUUUUGUCAGGACACCUUCAAUUCCUACUCUAUCGACCCUCAUAUGAACUCAACCUAUAUUUUUCUCAUUCCUAAAUGUAGGAAUGCCACCUUCCUUAAUAACUUUAGACCAAUAGGUCUAUACAAUACCCAGUAUAAACUCAUAACCAAAAUCAUUAUCAGUAGACUGAAAUCUCUCGUGGCAAAAAUCAUUGGGCCUUGCCAGGCCAGCUUUAUGUCUAACAAGAGAGCCUCUGAUAAUGCUAUCAUUAUCCAGGAAUAUGGCAACCACUUCUCCAAGAUGAAGGGUAAGAAGGUCAACAUGAUCCUCAAGAUUGACAUUAAGAAAGCCUUUGAUAGACAGGAGUGGUCAUUCACUUCAAUUUUACCCCUAACCUUACUAAACUCAUUCUCUCUUGCAUCUCUUCCCCUUCCAUCUCUGUCCUUAUUAAUAAAGGGAAAAUUGCCAGCUUUACUUCCUCAAGGGGCAUUAGAUAAGGAGACCCCAUAUCCCCUUACCUUUUCGUUCUUUGCAUGAAAAUGUUGUCCAAGAGAAUCAACCAUGGAGUGGAUAUUCUUAAUUGGACGCUCAUCUCCAUCUCCAAAAGGGGUUACCCUCUUUCCCAUCUCUUCUUUGCGAAUGAGCUCACCCUUUUUGCCAAAGUUAAUUUAAAAAACUAUGUCACCAUCAACAAAACUCUUCAAAUUUUCAGUUCCCAUUCAGGCCAAAGGAUCAACCUUUACAAAUCCAUGGUUAUCUUCUCUACUAAUUGCUCUACUGAAGACCAGGAGAACAUUAGUAACACUCCGGGUAUCCAUCCUGCUAAAAGUUUUGAGAAAUACCUGGGUUUCCCUAUUUUUCAUAAGAAGCCUUAAAAGAGGGACUUUUAAUUUCUCAUUGAUAAUCUAAACAACAAGCUUGUUGGUUGGAAGACUAAGUUUCUCAACAUGACUGGUAGGGUUACCCUAGCCAAAUCCUUCUUGGCUAGAAUUCCCAACCAUGUUAUGCAGUAUAUAAACCUCCUCACUUCUUUCCAUAAGCUUAUUGACAAAUCUCAAAGGAACUUCAUUUGGGGAAUCACUGAUGUCAAGAGGAAAAUGCACCUCAUGGGUGGGACACUAUCACCCUUCCCAAAAGAAAUGAGAGGCUUGGAAUGCAGAAAACCAGCCAUAAGAAUCAAGCCAUCCUUUGUGGCUUGGGAUGAAGAAUGUACUCCAUCCUUAACUUUUCUUAGGCCAGCACUCUCCUCUCUAAAUACAACUCUAUUAGAAACAGUAGUGGAGGUUCUAGAACCUGGAAGGCUAUUACUAAUAGCCUAAAUCUCUACAAGGAUGCCUGUUCCUGGGCUAUCAAGGAUGACACUAAGGUAAAUGCCGGGGAAGACAUAUAGAUCCCUAGAAUGCCACCUCUUUCUUCCAUUAUUCAGGGGCCUAUCCUCUCAAAUUCAAGCAGUACUAAAGUCAAAGACAUCUAGAAUGAGGGAAUUUGGGACUCUGCCCCUCUGCCCUUUCAUAUCCUUCCCAACAUUGCCUACAAUAUUAAGAAUGUCUUCAUGUAUUCUCCCAACUUAGAGCAAGACACCACUAUUUGGAAUCUUACUUGUGAUGGCAACUUUACAUGCAGGAGCGUUUAUCACCACAUAAACAGUCUCAAAAGACAUCAUAUCACCCAUCAUCAGUCCUUCAACUAGAUCUGAAAACUCAAGAUUCCUAAUAAGAUCAAAACUUUCAUUUGGCUCAUGCAUCACAAUAGCCUUCCUACUAACCAUACUUUUGCCGGAAGAGGCCUGAAUAUCAGCCUCUAUUGUCAUAGUUGCAACAAUAGCCAAGAAGAUCAACACCAUAUCUUCUUUGGGUGCAGUGUUGCCAAGACCUUUUGGAACCAACUUAUUCAAAAGUACAAAGGGUCAUUGCAUUUAAACACUUCCCUGUUCGACACCAACAAUUGACAUUCCACCUGGAAAAUCCUCAAAAACGAGGACUUUAACCCUAACACCCCUUGGCUCACUUUGCUACCCUUCUAUCUCUGGCACCUUUGGAAGAUCAGAAACAACAGGAAUUUCAAAGAUGCCAACUCUCUUCCUUGCUUCAGCAUCCCCCAUGCUGAAGCAAUAGAAUACUACCACUUUGGGAACCCCUACAACCUUCAGACUAGAGACUACAUCACCAUUAAAUGGCUUCCCCCCACCUCUAAUCCCUACAAAUUGAACACUGAUGGAUCCUUCCUUGGGAACCCAGGUAGGGAAGAAAUUGGAGGGGUCAUCAAAAAUAGUAGAGGUGACUGGAUGGUUGGCUUCAAUAAAAGUUUCACCCACGCCAUCAAUAAUCUCAUGGAACUCCUGGCCCUCAAAGAAGGUCUCAAUCUGGCUAUAGACCUGAACUUGAUACCUUUGGAUAUAUGCACACUCUCUUCAGGUUAUUAACAUAUUACACUAUGAAAAUUUGUUAUAUAAUUCAAUUAUCUUUGAAUGUAGAUCUUUUUUAGAGAAAAUGGGGAAUCCUCCAGUGCACCACACUUACAGGGAGCAGAAUAGAGUAGCAGACUCAACGGCUAAGCUAGGCUCAAGUCAAAACAUGUUCGGCAAUCUUUAUACUUUUGCUACUCCUCCACCUAGUAUAGGAGUAAUUUUUUGGGAAGAUUUCAAGGGGAAAGCUUUCUCCCGACUUGUAUCCAAUGCUGAAAAUCCUAGCCACAACUCUCAUGUUUUUGUGCCAGACUAAAUCUGGCUUGUAACUAACCUUCUAAUUUAAUGCAUUUCUAUUUUACCAAAAAAAAAAAAAAAAAGAAUCACUAAACAAGCAAUUGUUUCAUUUUAAGAAAAUGGACAAUUUUUUUUAUAAUUACUGUAUUUACCCACAUCUCGAUUAAUUCCACGAGAUAUCUACCUAUUCCCACCAUUGAUAUGUGUCAGAUAACUUUUCCUGUUUUCGAUCAAAGUAAAAUUAAAUAAAAAGUCAUUACUUACUAAUAAUAUUUUUGUCUCAACUAAAAUCUAAACCUAAAAUCUCAUGAAUUUUACUCACUUUAUUGACCUCUAGCAAAUGGACAAUGUUACAUCGUUGUAACUCAUUAAUCACAUGUUUUGUUUUACACAAAGUUUAUCUACUUGGUAGACCAAAUGUCUUCGUUCUAAUUCAAGUGUUUGAUAGAUACGUGCACACAUUCACACGCAAUGAUUUUGACUAAUGACUUGGACAACUUGUUUAUCGUCAACCUGAUGUAGUACCAUGCCCAAAACCUUCUUCUUUGAUGCUCACAAUGCAUACAACUUGUUUAUUAGUGUCUCAUAUGAUUGUUCGCUAUUUAUUUUAUAAUUUGAUUAAUUUGAAUUCAUACGGAAAAAAUUCAUGUUAAAAGAUUUUUUUUAUCUGGUAUUUGUUGCUAGUGAAAGAUGGCAGGUAUCUAAUAAAAUUAGUCGAAGUAUGCUCAAACUAACUCGAGCAUCAUGAUUAUCAAGAGAAAGUUUCAUCUUAAAAAGGUAAAGUAUUCUUAUUAAAAAUUAUUUCAUGGUAAAAAAUUGAAUUUAAAAGUAAUUGAAAAUAGAGAUGUAUUUAAUCAACACUCCUUUACAACAUUUGGUGGUUAGUCAAUACCUUCUUUCAAAAAGGGAUGCCCUUCUAUUGCUUAUUUGCUUAAUUAUACAUUUUAACGAGAAAAAUGAUAAAAAUGUUUUGGAUGGGUUUAAAUUAAUAUUUCCAAUUAUAUAUUUUAAGCAGUUUUAAUCUUUUAAAUUUAUCAAUGAUGAAUAUUUUCAUUUCAUCAAAAAAUUGACGAAUGCAAAAUAUCAAAGAUGACCUUUGAGUAUAAUACAGUAUAAUAUGUUUUCUCAAAAUUGAAAAAAAAAUCAGAAGUACUCACUAAUAUUGUAUUUGAUGAAUCAGUAAAUUUCAAUUGAUUGUCUUCAUAUUUUGAAUGAAAUAAUACCGCUUCAGCUUUGACAUAAAUUAAAAAACUCAUUUAACAUUUCCAUGUGGGAUUUCAAAAUUUUGAAAUAUCAUAUUACCUAUAAAUUUAAAUUGUAUUAAUACUCGAUAUUUAUUGUACUACUUUCUUUUUUGUUUUAGAAAACUUAGCAGUGAGAUUUUCCAGAAAUAAUUAGAGGGACAAAUUGAAGAAAUACCAUCUACAAUAUUAGAGGGUGAUUAAUCAGCUAAGUAAUACUAUAGAUAAUGACAACUUUGCACUAAAAUAUGGGCUGACAUCAGGUAAAAAAAUUAUCCACAUCUAUGUUUAUAUUAAGCUAAUAAAUGCAUCAUAUAUAUAUAUUUGUUGAACUAACCCGAUAAGUAAGCAUUUAACUUUUGAAAAACAUACACUUUAGACAUCUCAAUUUUAUCUUAAUUGACAACUAAACACUCAACUCAUGUGCACUAUGUCUUGUGGACACUCAACAUUAGCGUUACAAAUGUCUAGAUGAUCUUUUAUAAGUUAAAGUCCAAUUGACAUGAUGAAAACGAAUUGAGUAUAAAUAUACACUAUCAAAAUUAAAGUAUUUAUUUAUCUGAAAUCAAAUUUAAAUGUCUAUUUAUAUAUUGUGUCUAUAUGUUUAUAUAUAAACAGAAAAGGGUAAAAAUUACCUUUGAACUAUUCGAAAUGGAUUAAAAAUACCCUCUAUUUAUUUUUUGACUCAAAAAUAUCUCUCCAUUAAUUUUUUUGUCUCAAAAAUACCCCUCCAUUAAUAUUUUGGCUCAAAAAUACCCUUCUCUCUAAUGAAAUACCACCAAACACGCCACGUGCAUUAAAAAGGUCACUAGUGUAGUCUACGCCAGCAUACACAUGAAAAAUUACUCCAUUUAAUCCAUCUAACCAUCAACCCAAUUUCGUCUAAUAUCCAACCCCACCCAUAAUAAAAAAGAACGACCAAAGAGGAAAAAAUUGAAUAAUUUGAUUGCUUAUUUUUCAUGUGAUGGGUUCAGAUAUUCUGGAUCGAUCAAUGCAAAAGAUGAGGAAAUAAUCAGAUCCUCAAAUUGUUACUCAAAAGAAUCAGAUUGACCCUAGACAAUUGAAUCCUCAAAUAGUCGAUCCGAUUUUCAAGAGCUCGAAUUGCUACGGAAUUUUCUAUUUGAAUUUGUCUAAUGAGGAACCUGAUUGUAGUGAGAGAAAUGAUAAUUCAGAGACAAAAUUAAAAUUUGGAGCGAGGAAGUUUAGUGGCAAUGUAGGACAACCAUAAGUUGAUGAGGUCAAGAAUUGCUCGAGUGAGUCUCAUAACUUUGAAAAUGUUAAUAAUAGAAUGGAAUGUGGUGAAAGGGAUGAUCUGAGGGGAAAAAAUUAAACAAUUGAAUUUUACCUCUUGGGUCGGGUUGAAUUUUUAAUAAAAUAAAUUGGACUGAUGGUUAAAUGAAUUAAAUGGAGUGAUUUUCUAUGUGAUGCUGACGUGGACUGAUUAAAUGACUUUUUUUAUUCACGUGGCGUGCUUGGUGAUCUUCCGUUAGAGAGAAUGGUAUUUUUGAACCAAAAAAUUAACGAAGGAGUAUUUUUUAUCCAAAAAAAACAAACAAAGAGGUAUUUAUGAGUCAAAAAACAAAUGAAGAGUAUUUUUAAUCUAUUUUCAAUAGUUUGAGGAUAUUUUUGACCCUUUUUCGAUAUAUAAAUAAACUUUUUGCAAACGUUACUAUAAUUACUUGAUUAUACAUUCUUACUUUAUAGAAUUACUUAAUUAUAAUCAAUGUACAUUUUUUUUUUUAAUAUAAACACCUAAUACAAAUAAAUAUUUACCUAAAAAUUCUAUUAUGUAAAGGCUGCAACAAGUGUAAUUCUUCAUGAAGUACAUAAGAAAAAUAGCAGAAACUUUGGGAUUGACUGUUGCGUGAUCCCAUAAGAUAUCAAACUAUAAUAUAAAAUUCAAUAAUUAUCCCCCCCACCCCCACAAAACCACCCCAAAAAGUGAAACAAAAGUACAAAACAAAACAAAAAGUGAAGUUCCCCAUCACCUCAAGGAAAUUGCUUAGAAAAAUUCCAUACCCCCCAGAAAUAUACACAAAAUUCCAACCAAAAAAAUAAAAAUUCUGAAACUUUUUCAAUGUACUUGUAGUAGUAGUUGUUGUUAAUAAUAUACAGAGAAAAAAAAUACUAAAUUCUUCUACAGCUCAAAAAAAAAUAAAAAUUCCCAGUUCAUCAGUUUAAUGAAAAAUGACUCGUAAGUUUCAGUUUCUUGAUUUCUGUAAAGUUUCAAUUUUUUUCAUUAACCCAUAUUGGUUUUUUCUUUGGAUAGUUUAUAAUCUUUUUUCAAUGACAACCCUUUGUUAUUUCAAAAUAUGAUAGUGUAAUUCUUUCAUGUAGUAUUUAUUAUUGUUGCUUGUUUUGAUCAUCUGGUACUUUUUUCUUGGUGUAUAUUGUAGUAGAGGAUAUGGGUAAUUUUUAUUUUUAUUUUGCUUGAUUGGUAUAGAAAUUAAAGUUGAGAUUUUUGUGAUAUUUGCUUCGUUCUUUUUUGGGAAUUAUGAGAUAAUGAAGUUGACUGAUUUUGUACCUUAAUUUAGUUCAUUAAGGAGUUCUUAGCUGAUGAUCGUUUUGUUAUUGAUGUGUGAUUAUGAAUUUUUCUUCUCUGGCUUUGAUGUUUGUUUUACAUAAGAUUUUGUGUUCUUGAAAAGAUGGAAACUUCCUAUGUUUGAGGUAGGGGUAGGGCAUGCAUACACACUGCCCUCCCUGAAUUUUAUUUUGUGGGACUAGACUUGGUAUGUUGUUGUGGUUGUUAAAAAGAUCGAAUCUUUCUACCUCGGAGGUGGGGGUAAGGGUAAGGUCUACAUACACACUACCCUACUCAGACACCACCGGGUAUGUUGUUGUUGUUGAAAAGAUAGAAUUUUUUUUACUUCUGAGGUAGGGGUAAGGUCUGGAUACACGCUGUCCUCUCCUGACCUCACUUUGUGAUACUAUACGGGUAUGUUGUUGUUGUUGAAAAGAUAGAAUCUUUAUACCUCUGAGGUAGGGGUAAGGUCGGUGCACGCGCUACCCUCUCUAGACCCUACUUUUCGGGACUACACUGGGUAUGUUGUUGUUAAUAAGAUAGAAUCUUUCUACCUCUGAGGUAGGAAAAGGUCUGGAUACACUCUAUCUUCUCUUGACCUCAGUUUGUGAUACUAUACUGGGUAUUAUGUUGUUGUUGAAAAGGUAGAAUCUUUUUAUCUCUAAGGUCCUUAAGUCUGCAUACACACUGCUCAGUGCUCUCCCAGACCUCACUUUGUGGAACUACGCUAAGUAUGUUGUUGUUAAGAUAGAAUCUUUCUACCUCUGAGGUAGGGGUAAGGUCUGCAUAUACACUACCUUCCCCAAACCCCACUUUGUGAGACUACACUGGAUAUGUUUUUGUUGUUGAAAAGAUAGAAUCUUUGUUCAUAUUGUUGCUUUGUUGCUAUUUUAAGAGCUUGAUCAGUAGAGAUGCUCCGCUGUUCACCUUGCUUUCUUGAUUUAAAUGGCUUUGUUUUUAUUGAUUUUUGUUCCUACUCAAACACCCCAAACUUGUAAUCAAUUCAUCCCUUAAGAGUCUGUAGUAUUUGUUCUUACCAUUUUGGACGAUAUUAACUCAAUCGUGUUGUGUACUCCAUGUGCUUGAAAUCUCUAUGUAGCUAUUGUUUAAUAGAUUGGUUACUUACUAAUUGUUUAACUGACUGGUUGCUUACUAAGUCUGAGAAGUUUCCAGCUUCCUGUUGUACUCAGAUGCCAAGGUAAUCGAUAUUGAUUUGUCUUGUGUUGCAAAGAAGUUUCCCUUAAGGAUUUUAAGAUGUUAAUUUCUUUUGAAAUUGUGUCUGUAACCUAUUACCUUUUGAAGUGUUUUGAGGAAGCUGAAGUAAGCUGUGUUGGGGUUGCUCAGUGAUGUGCUUGGCUGCGUAGGCUUAAUUCUCCUGAAUUAUGUGUCAAAAUGUUUAAUCGUGAUGUUUAUGCAGAUCAUUGCUUUGGCAGAUGACACUGCUAUUUGGAUCAGGACUGCCUAGUCUUUUAAUGAUUGUGAAGUGAGAUCGGCAUACAGUCUCCUAAUUGAUUCAUAGACUGCACCCAUGGAGAAACUCAGAAGCAAAAGUUGGGUUGGGAGCAUAUACCACAAGUUCGAGGCUGUGUGUCAGGAGGUUGAUGAAUUUGUAACUAAGGUAGCCAUUUACUACUUCCAAGUACUUCGGUAUAUCUGCUUUCUCCCUGGUUGUUUUGUUUCCUUUGGAGUCUACAUGUUACUAUAGUUUGUUGGAAUGGACUAGUUCUAGUUUUGAUUUGACUUAUUUCUUAACAAUUAGGACACAAUUAAGUAUGUUGAGAAUCAGGUGCAAUCUGUUGGUGCAAACAUGAAAAAGUUAUACUCUGGUGUGGUGCAAGAUUUUCUUAUCCCAGUGGACAAUCAUGUAAAAAAAGAGGCACAAGUUGUCAAUGGGAAGCCAAAGCACGCCAUUGGCACUUAUACUAGUUCAGUGACAAACGCGACACAGAGCCCCACCAAAAAGCAAUCAUGUGUGGAUCAGUAUGCUGGCAAUUCCCUUGAAAGCCAUAAUGCCUCAAUUUCAACUGAACUUGCUGGUGUGCUAGCUUUUGAAGAAGAAGAAAUUGAUCUUUCUGUAGGAAAUGAUUGUUCCACUGCAACUUGUAAGAACUCACAUAAGGUCUUUAAAAAGAAAAUAAAAAGGGAGGAAGCACUGGUAGAUGAGGAACCAAGUACUUCUGAAGACGGAAUUUCAUUGGAAUCCUGUGUUGACAAAGAUUCAAAAGAUACCAUGUGCUAUAGCUUUUCAGAUGAUGAUGAGUGUUUUUCUGUCGUAUCAAGCUCUCAGAUUAUACUACAAGAUGAUAUGGUCAGCGAGGAACAACCACUGGCUAAGGGAUCAAGUUCAUUCCUGGAUUAUUUGUGUAAAUCACAACUCAGGGCCUCUAAGAAUGAAAAACUGUGUGAUAGUUCUUCUGAUGCUAUCAACUGUAUUUCUAAUGUAACAAGUAGUCAAAUGGUUUUGCAACUAAACAUCACUAGGGAGGUACUACCAGUCGAUGAUCAAUCAAAUUCUUUUGGAGAUAUGGCUUCAUCAAAGUCAUUAACAUUUCCAUUGGAGGAAAGUCAUGGAAAUUCCCUCAUGGCUAAGUUACCCCAUCCAACUUCACUUAAUGAUAGAGAACUUAGGACCUUCCCAGAGGAUGAGAGAGGGUGCAACAGAUCUUCUGAUGUUGCUGAGAGCAUUUCCAAUAUUUCAAUAACUCAGACGAACUUGCAAGGCAAUAUCACUACUGAAGAUCGACUUGCAUCCAAGGAAUCAAGCUUUGUCGAAGAUAAACCUUUGCCCCAGGACCCAGCAUUUUCAUCUGAUAUACCUCCACUAAAUGAUGCAGGAUUUGGUGUGUCCAUGACUGUGCAUAAGAGUUUUCUGGAUGAUGUUACUUGUGUUUCUGAGGAGCCAAGUACGUCUUGGGCAUUUGAAGAUGCUCCUAGCACAUUCCAGUCAUCUGAACUUGUACUUUCUCAAGUUCUGGAGAAUGAACGCAUGGAUGUAGACGCUGGAAUAUCAAACUCUUCCAUGUUAGCAGAAUCUUCAAGCCUGUCAACUUCCUCAAUUGGAAACUGUAUGAAGGAAGCAGUGUCUGAUUUUAGUAUCUCCCCCGGUCGCUCAUCUUCGUUGUCUACUUCUUUAGUGAGUGCAAACAAUGUUGUUUCUGUCAUUCCAGCUCUCUCAAGUACUCCGUCGUUAACAGAUUUCAGUGGUAAGUGGAUUCCCCUUUCAACCUACACUGCCCAGUUUUUGUUCUCUCUGUUUCUACUUUCCUUUUUCUUUCAGUUGUAUCCGCUGCUUCAAUAGAUUUCUUCUGCAGCUGUAAAUGCCUCCUGUUCUCACGAGUCGGUUGGAAAUUCUGGGUCAGUACAAAAUGACCAUGAGUGGUGUCCAAGUCCUCAGUUGAGGGUUCUUAUUUGUCCUGCAGAAAUAGGUACUACGUGGAAGAACUUUGGUUUUUUCUUUCUAUCCUGGUAGUAAUUUACAGCGAGUGUGUUGUUGUAUCCUUUGAAAUUCAUGUGUGAUUCUAACAAAGUUGCAAUUAAACUAUGGCAAUAUAGCCAAAGCUUACAUUCUCAGAAAAAAAAAAAAAACCACUAUGGCAAUGUAGCCGAGAUAAUGAUGCAUGUGUGAAAUAAUGAGAAUAAGGAGAAAUUAUUGCAAACUCGGAUCUCAGCUGCAGGACAUGCUCAUUAUGUAGUAGUUGGUUGCCCUUAUGUGCUGCAGGGAUGCUAUAACAUAUUAUUUUUUGGAAGGAGAGUUCAUCGCUUGAUUUCAUGUUUGCAAACUUGAGGUCUAUCUGCAGGCACGUGAUCAAAAUAAAAGUAAAGAGUCCCAAAUUUUCCUUGCUGUCCUUCCCUCCCAUAUAAAACAGAAAUGAAAAAGGAAAUUUGAGGGCGAAGGGAUGAUAUUGACUUGAAUGCUUUGUCUACUAUUUCUUCAGUAUUCUGAAAUGAAUGUUGUUGGAUCAACUGUAUCACUCGACUAUAAACUUAUGGAAGAAUAAAAGAGUUGUUCUUUUAUAAAAUCUGCCAGAAGAUUUCUGGAUGAUAUACCUUCUUUGGAAGCAGGAGGUCAUGGGUUCAAGCCGUGGAAACAGCCCCUUGCAGGAAUGUAAGGUGAGGCUUCAUACGAUAGAUCCUUGUGGUCCGGCCCUUCACCGGACCCCAUGCAUAGCAGGAGCUUAAGAACACCGGGCUGGCCUUUUUUUAUGUCUUCUUCGGAAAGAUCGUGCCAGUUGAUCGCUACUUCAUUUCGUUGUAUCAAUUAGAGAUUAAUUUCAGAAUCUGGCCUAGUCUGCAUGAAUAAGAUUCAGUCUGUUUCAUGGAGCUGGAGGUAUAAAACUAUCUUUCUUUCUUUCUUUGGAAAUAUAACGGCAAGGAUUGAUGCUGAUCCAUUAGAAAAAACUUUAGGGUUUAUAGGUUGAGAGAAAAUAACAUGGAAUCAUAUACUGCUUUCUUCAGAUUGACGGCUUCUCAAAUCUGAGCAUCUGUAUCCGUGCUUUUUUGUUGAUGUUUACCUACUACUUGAUUUUUUUUUGCAGGAUGUAUGAGUGAUAGCUCCAUUGAUCUUCCGGGCAUGGAAACAAUUGAUCUAACUGAUAAAGAAAAAGUCAAGGAAAGUUGUGUCCUCGUUGACAGUAAAUUACACAAUCGUGUUUCUUUUAGGCCAAGGAAAUAUAAGUCAUACAAGGUAGCCUCUCUAUCUGUUAAGCUUCCCUUCUACUUCAAAUCCUGUACUCAAAUAACGUUCACUUCUAUCUGCUAUACGACAGGAAUUAAUACAGGAGGCAUUUGCUUCUAGAAAGAGAUUGAUAAAGGAAUACAAGCAAUUGGCUGUCUUGUAUGCAGACGUGGAUGGUGAAACGAGCCAGCAUGUUGAGCUCUCUCAUUUACCUUCUCUUCCUUCACCAUGUCCACACUCAACGGAACCAUCCACAUGCAACAUAGGUGAACCUGGAUGGGAGCUCCUGUAAAUGAGCCUCUUUUCCUGUGAAAACUUUCCCAUGUUAAUAAUUUCUACUGAGAGUUGUCUUUGUAAAGGUUCCGCAUAAACGGUUAGCAUAAUCGAGCUAAUCGUUAGUCUUAUUGUGAGAUAAAUAGUAGAAACUACAUCUUUUUUUUUUUCUUCCUUUUUCAUGCUUGGUAAGGCAUUUGAAAUCAUUUUUGGAUAAAUAUCGUUCUGCUCAUAUGCCUAUGAGCAUUUUCAUCUGUUUGUUCACUUGUGACAUGGUCUUUGCAUAAAGGUUCUGGAGGAUUACUUCUUGAUUCUAAGCAAUGUGGCCAAAUUUCUUAUGUCAAAUCUGUGUGUAGUGGCAAUAUUUUGUUUGUUCUCCAACUUUGUUAGUACACUUGCAUAUUUGGUAAAAAACAAAUAGUCAGAUGGUAUAUCAUACUAUUUCUUUCGAGCCAAGGGUUCAUCGGAAGCAAUCUCUCUGCUUCCGAGAUAUCAAAAACUAUUUUUGAUCGCCUUGCUAUUCGCUUGAUUUAUGGGUCACAGUCUUCAUGUAGAAAAUAUAACAAAAUUGAGAAUUUGAGUCAAAUUAAUAAACUUUCAUUCACUAAACAAAAUUUGACUGAUGCACAAAAUUUUUGCAGCAUCUUGUCGAAUAUUUAACAAACGCACACCGUUCAUUCUAAAUAAGAUUUAUUUCUCGAACACACGAACAGUUAUUUUUUAACAUAUCAUUAAACAUAGAAUUCGAUGAUACAUAAUAACUUUUCGCAAGGUAUAUAGGAUCCUAAAUCACAUGUUUUAAAUUCAAGUUCUAAAAAUGUGUAAUUACGCUAGUUAAAUACACUUCACUCAACAUAAAUUUUUCAAACCCGAAUCCAAAUUUAGUCCCAUUUUAAUGCGAUAAUAAAUCAACAAUAUAAAUUUCAAUAGUUUGAAGCUUCAUUACAGAAAAAUUUGAUAUUUUGCAUAAUUAAUGAAAAUUUAAAAUUUGGAUCUGUUUUGAUAUCAAAGAUAUAUAAUUAGCUUCUGAUAUAUUUUUUCAAUUUUAGAUCUGUCGAGAUACAUAAUACGUACAUUCAAUAAAGAUACACAUUUUCCUAUACAUAAUUAACUCCCGUUCAAUAUUUUGGAUCUGUUGAGAUAAUAACUAGCUCCUAAUACAUUCAAUGGAGAUACAUAAUUAGUUGGUAUUUUUGUUGUUAUUUUUUACAUGUGAAAAUUUGUAUACAUAUGAUAAGUUAAAGAUAGGUGUAUAUUUAUGUUAUUUUUUAAAAAAAUAAAAAUAAAAAUGAGAGUCCUCGAAAAUCACAAAGCUUUGACAGCCUUUUUGAUGCGAAUAAAUAGUGGACACACAGUCACACACCACAGUCCACAACUCGCAAUACAUUUUCCUCCGCCGUAACAUUUUUACCUUUUCCCACAAUUCCAAAUGAGGACUUUCAUGUUGAAAUCCAUCGUUCGCCGGACCUCCACUUCCGGCGCAUCCUAUGUUUCCCGCCGGGGACUCUCAUCGGGAUCCGCGCCGGAGAGGAAAGUCGCCGUUUUAGGAGCUGCCGGCGGGAUCGGCCAGCCUUUAUCACUUCUAAUGAAGCUUAAUCCUUUAGUAUCUAGACUUGCACUGUAUGAUAUCGCCGGUACUCCUGGUGUUGCCGCUGAUGUUAGUCAUAUCAACACCAGAUCUGAGGUAGCUUUCAGUUUUCUGCUUUGAAUUUGCUAUUUUUUGAUGUAUGUAAGUGAUAAGUUCAGUGGCGGAUUCAGGAUAUUCAUUAAGGUGUUCGAAAAAUGAAAAUGUUGUGCUUAGUAUUUUUUUAAUGAGUGAAGGAUUCAGGAUUUUCAUUAAGAGGUUUGAAAAAUGAAAAUGUAGUGUCUAGGAUUUGAACUGGGAAAAAUAAUAAACCACUGAGUGAAAAAUUCAGUGGCAGAUUAAGGAUUUUCAUUAAGGAGUUUACAACAACAACAACAACAAACCCAGUGUAUUCCCACCAAGUGGGGUCUGGGGAGGGUAGAAUGUACGCAGUUCAUACCGAUACCACCAGAGAAGUAGGGAGACUGUUUCCGAUAGACCCCCGGCUCAAGAUAGAGAAAAGUAGACCAAAGCGUAGUUAAAUAAGAAGCAAGAUGGAUGGCAUAACAUGAAAAGGAAUAAGACACAAUAAAAAUAGAACUCAGAGCAAUAAGAAAUAAAAUAAAUAAGCGCAAUAGGAAAAAGAGACCCAAGCUCGCCUGAUCGGGCUCCUAUCUCUGGACCCAAUCCUAGGGUUACUAGCCUGACUCAACCUGAGCUCUUCUAACUACUUACUAAAACCACGCACACAACCUAGCCUUCUAUCCUUAUCCGCGACCUCCACACCUUCCUAUCUAGGGUCAUGUCCUCAGUAAGCAGAAGCUGCUCCAUAUCAUGUCUAAUCACUUCCCUCCAGUACUUCUUCGGCCUAGCUCUCCUUCUCCUUAAGCCAUCUAACGCUAACAGCCAUCUAAUGCUAACCUCCUAAGCUUUUCAUUAAGGAGUUUGAAAAAUGAAAAUAUAGUGUCUAGGAUUUGAAUUUGGAACCUCUAGGUGAGUAAUGAGUCAAUUUCUAGUCUUGUGUUCGGGGAUUUAAAACAAAAUAUAUGCUUCAUGUACAUGAGUAAUAAACAUGAGUGGUGGAUUCAUGAUUCUAUUAAUGGUAGAGUAAAAAAUUCAGUGUUGGAGUCAGGAUUUUCAUUAAGGAGUUCGAAAAAUGAAAAUGUAGUGUCUAGGAUUUGAAUUUGGAACCUCGAGGUGAAUAAUGAGUCAAUCUCUAGUUUUGUUUUCGGGGAUUUAAAACAAAAUAUAUGCUUCAUAUACAUGAGUAAUAAACCUGAGCGGUGGAUUCAUGGUUUUAUUAACGGUAGUGUCUAGGAUUUGAAUUUGGAGCUCAAGGUGAAUUAUGAAUCCCUUAAACCACUGAAUCAACUUCAAGUCUUGUAUUUGGGGAUUCAAAAUUUAUAUAUAUGUACUAAAAAUAAAAUAAAAAUACCUUAUAUAUAUAUAGUGUAGGAUUUGAACUUGGAACCUCAGGGUGAAUUAUGAAUCCCCUAAACCACUGAGUCAACCUCUUGUCUUGUGUUUUGGGGAUUAAUGUAGUUGGUGGCUUGAUUGAUUCUUUAAACAUGAUUUUUGGUUGUAUUCACGUUAGUCAAUUUUACUAUUGAGUUCAACUUUGAUGCUCAUUUCUAAGGCUUACUUCAUUCCACAUUUUACUAGCUUAUUUGAGUGUAAUUACCCUAUGUCACAUAAAUAUACAUAGAUUUGUGAAUGCCCAAGGGUGUGGACUAGUGGUCAAUGAAGUGGGUUAAGAACCCUGAGGUCUUAGGUUAAAAUUCCAGCAGAGGCAAUAAACACUAGGUGAUUUCUUCCCAUUGCUCCUAGCCUUGGUGGACAGAGUUACCUACCUGUUAUUGGUGGGAGGUGCCAUGUAUCACGGGAAUUAGUCGAGGUGUGCGCAAUCUGUCCCAAACACGGAUAUUAAAAUAUAAAUAAAUUAUGAAUACAACAACAACAUACCCAGUAUAUUCCCACCAAGUGGGGUCUGGGGAGGGUAAGUGUACGCAGUCCAUACCACUAACUCAAAUGUGAGAUAGAGAGGUUGUUUCCGAUAGAUCCUCGGCUCAAAAUAAAUUAUGAAUGACUUGUGCAAAUAAAAGGUUUUGUGCUGGAAAUGAGGUGUGUAUCAGUAAUGCAAAGUUUAAUAACAGAUCAAAUUUUCUUCUUGUGAAGAAAAAGUAGCACUUGCACUUUGCAUCAGUAACCGGAUAUAUUUUCAAGAUGACUUGAUCCCAAUGUUAUUUGAUGUGUCCAGUAGUAAACAAUUUGAUGCUCAUCUACCUUUUGGGUCCUAUAACCUAUUUAAGUAGCCAGUUUGUGGUUCUCUUCCCUAGCAGUUCUUAUAUGUAAACAUAUUUUUGGACUUUGCAGGUUGCAGGUUUUGCAGGAGAAGAGCAGCUAGGGCAGGCUCUAGAAGGAGCUGAUGUGGUUAUCAUCCCUGCUGGGGUGCCCCGAAAGCCUGGUAUGACUCGUGAUGACCUGUUCAACAUUAAUGCGGGUAUUGUUAAAUCUCUUUGCACGGCCAUUGCUAAGUAUUGCCCCAAUGUGAGUAAGCCUUUUUAAUUAUGUCUGUAUAUUGGCUGUAUAGCAGUUCAGGUAUUCUUGAAAAAGUUACUGAUUUCUUCUUUUUGCUACUACUACCUUUGAUCAACUUUAAAGGCUCUUGUCAAUAUGAUCAGCAAUCCUGUGAAUUCCACUGUCCCAAUUGCUGCCGAGGUGUUUAAGAAGGCUGGAACUUAUGAUGAAAAGAGGCUCUUUGGAGUUACCACACUUGAUGUGGUUAGGGCCAAGACUUUCUAUGCUGGAAAAGCCAAAGUAAAUGUCGCUGGUAUGUUUCUUAGUCUACUUCUGGGUUUGAAUUAGUUUUGUUUCCCUUUACAUGAAACAGUAAAUUCUUGCAAUUCUGUCUGUUUUACUUACUUGUGGAUUCAUUGUUCAGAGGUCAAUGUCCCAGUAGUUGGUGGUCAUGCUGGCAUAACUAUCCUCCCCUUAUUUUCUCAAGUAAUCUUUCUUCGCCCUUGUUGAAUCUUUUUUCCUUUAGUAUGUAUAUUUUGUUGUAAUAAGAGUUCAAUUGAACUCUGUUUAGUAUGGAUUAUUUAAGUUAAUUGGUGAAUUUUCCACCUUGUGGCCUUACUGAGUUUUGUUUCAUCACUAACUUUUGGAUACAGGCCACUCCAAAGGCAAAUCUAUCAGAUGAGCAGAUUGAGGCACUCACAAAGCGAACACAAGAUGGUGGCACAGAAGUUGUUGAGGCCAAGGCUGGAAAGGGUUCGGCCACCCUCUCAAUGGCGUAUGUUUCCAUCUCAUGCUUUUCUUGAUUUCUUUGGCCUGCCCAUGCCCUGCUAGAUACUAUGCCAUUUUUAGAUACAUCGUGUUUUCAAAACAAUAAUAUGUGGCAUGAUGAUACCCCCUCCAUAAUUCAAACUCAUGUUUGCAUGUUCCAUUGGAUAAUCACAUGUGAAUAUAGCAUAUGUUGCACUUCAUGCAAUAUAGUACUUGUAGAACUGGAGAAGAAACGGAGAAAUAAAAAGAUUAGGAACUUCUCUUGAUAUUACUGGCACAAGCCACUUUGAUUAUCAAACUUUCCUGUUUGAACUCGUUUCUGAGCAGUUAGUUUUACUUCCACAGCUAUGCUGGUGCUAUUUUUGCCGAUGCUUGCUUAAAGGGGUUGAAUGGCGUUCCCGAUGUUGUGGAGUGUUCUUUUGUGCAGUCCAACGUGACGGAGCUUCCCUUCUUUGCAUCCAAGGUAAUAAUCCUUUCCUAUCCUAUCCUACAAAGACACUCGAGGUCAUAUUUACUAAAAACGUAUCUCUGUGGAACUUGCCUUUCUGCUAGAUGGUUACAUUUUUUCUUUGAACUGUCUGGUUCAUUUGGUCAUCACCCUCUAAAUCAUAUGUGGGUUUCAAAAUUACUUAGCCACGAGGUAAAAAACAAAUUUGAUAGUUCAAGCUUGGGCCCUGGAGACAGGAUUUAUUCUUCCGUCUGUUUCGUCAUUUUAAGCAUGCUCUCGAACAGUUUUCUGAACGUGUCACACACAUCUGAAUGUAGCUAACUUAUUGAGUCAGAUUCCACGGCUAAACUCAGUACUUCCUGUUAUCAACUGACUAGUGUGUGCUUCUCUGUAAAUGGUUAUUGUUCUGAGUCAACUCUUUUUGUUUUGCUUGCGUAAUAUCACUGAGCCUGUACUUUUACAUAUCAUAUUCGUGAUUUUGAUCUCUUACUGGGUUUCAUGAUUCUGAGUUGGUUGCUGCUUUUAUCCUUUCAGGUGAGACUCGGGAAAACUGGAGUGGAGGAAGUCCUAGGCUUGGGCCCACUUACAGACUACGAGAAGAAAGGACUUGAAGCUCUUAAGCCAGAGUUGCUCUCCUCCAUUGAAAAGGGAAUCAAGUUUGCCAAUGCAAGCUAAAAUCAAGUUUAUGAUCUAGUUCUCCAAUGACAGUUUUGGAUCCUUUUGGGCAAUUGUGUUGUGUAUCCCCUGCAAGUUUCUUGCAGUCGGAGGCAUAGAUUUAGUUCUUUCGAUGUACACCGAUGGUUCUAGAAAAUAAUGAUUGGCAAACUGGUGGCAAUGCAUUUGCCUUAGCGUGGAGGUGUUAUUCUCACAUAGAUCAUUUUUCAAUUACGGUUAGAUGCAAGGCAGUUGAUGUGCCAUGAAGAAUGUUCAUGAACAAUUACUGUAUUUAAGAACAGUUUAACUCUUUCAGUCAUUAUAUUUUUGAAUGCAAUCGUGCAUUAUUUGGAAUCUCAAUAGUAAGUCAUAUAGAAGGUGUUAAGAGUUCCAAGAUAACCAAAUACCGUCCAGAUAAGUCGCCCACCAAAGCUCAAGUUAACAGAUUAUGCCUAUGUACACCCUUACUGUCCUUCCCAUUUUCUUUCCUGAUAGUGUUUUUACAAUGCAAUAAAUACUCCCAAAGCAACAAAUAAUACACAUCAGCCUAUUAUGCUCUUUGUACAAUCAGGUUACAGCUGCAGGACCUUGCAUGAUCCCGCCAAAUUGUUGACAAUAAGCACUGAAAAUGGAGAGAUUUUCAGCACGUGGUUUUUAAUUCAAACAGGUUGAGCAAUCUUGGCACCAAACAGGUGUUAAAAAUCUCACAUUACCACCAUAAACACCUUCUGCGUACAGCGUGACAGGUUUUAUGACGAGAAGAAUGAGAGAUCCAACAGUUCAUCUGCUCCCAAAACCACUGAGGCAAGGACCAGACCUCGGACUUCCUCCUGUACUUUUAUAUCUUGAAAGAAACCGUCACGCAAGAGACACCAGACAUCUUUCAGACGAGUGUUUGAACAUGCGCCGGCUCCAAUGCACUGAUAAUCAAAAUUUCCUGCAAGGCUGUAAAAUAGAUGAAGUUACACAACACAUUCUCAUGAUAGGCAAGAAACACCAUGACACACUUAAAAAAGAACACAAAGAAUCUAGACUACACAGAGCCUCAAGCCAGCGAAAAUAAAUCAAGAAAUAGUCAAUGAAGUAACACUGUAACAGUUCCUCGACUAACCUCUAUGUUUAACAGAAUUACCCCAUCCCAGUUUAGUAAUAAAUUCAAAGAGGAAAGAAGCAUUUCAAGCAAAAAAGAUAACCACCAUGAUUUCUUUCCACUAUAUGAUGGUGUUCCCAACCGCAAGAGAUAACCAGGGAGCCACAAGCCCAUAAUAACAGCGUGGACAGAAAAUAGAAUGGAAGAUUCCAAGGGUGCCUUGUUCUAGGGAGGGGAAACUUGCUGCACAUGCUGCCUUGGUGAGCAGUCGGGUAACUAAAGAAACAAGAGGGCUAGGAAAUGGGUGGAUCCACAGAUGAUUAAACAACCUUUUUCUUUUUCGGAGCAAGUGAUAUUUGCAUUGCCACUUUCUCGGAAAACUACUAAAAGUAUUUUUUCUACUUGUGGAAGAUUUGGCAGCUUCUGCAUUUCUUUCAAACCACGUCCUGGAAAAAGCCGAGGGUCUAUUGGAAACAGCCUCUUUACAUCGGAAAGGUAGGGAUAAGGUCUGUGCACACACUACCCUCCCCAGACCCCACUUGCAGGAUUAUACUGGGCAUGGUAUUGUUGUAUGGAAGAUCUGAAAGAAACACUAGUAUGUUAAACAUGCUCUUUCCUUUUAGUUUCAAUAACCUAUGUCCUAACAGUAUGCUAGAGGACAACUAAUCAAAACAGUAUAGGUAAAGUAUUUUUUCCUUGUUCACAUUAUUUCACAGAAGGAUGGAGAGAGGUCAUCAGGAAGUUCUAUGGAAAAAUUCAAAUCCAUCGACUUCCGUUGCAGAUUAAGCUGAACAUACUCGAGUUUCAAAACCAAAUAUUUAGUUUGCAAAAAGAAACACAAAGAAAGAUCGGUUUUGUCAACGGCAGACCAAUUUGCGUGUAUCUCGACUAUUCCACUAGUAUCUGUCACCUCCCACCACUCAGGACCGAGUUAUUCUGCCUAACCAUGCUUACGCAGAUGGCAACAAAACAUUCGGCACUUUUGCAUCUACUGAGAUUUGACCCAUAGUCUCCCAUGGUUUAAUCCAACUUAAUUGAUCACUAGGCCAUAUCCGUAGGUGCAAUACGAAACAAGAUUUUCUACCCAAAAAAAGGUAUGUAAUUCUCAUUGACCUCAAAGAAUAAUAAGGGAAGUUUAUGCAUAUAAUGCACUCUAUUGUUUCUGCAGUUCUACUCCAAUUCUCCUUUUGGCAGUGGUUACUACAAGAAAAAACAUAAAUCCAUCCUCACUCUUAGAGAGGGGACACAUUUAUUAAUCUAUUUCUUAAUUAAUAUUUGUUUAUGUAUCUUAUAUCUGCAGCAAGUCCUACAGUGUAAUCAUCGCCAUUUUUAUACAUUAUCAAUAGUUAAUACAGCUGAUUAUGCAAGUAUCUAUGCAGCUCCUUCAUACUGACAUUACAUUCACCAAGUCACUGAAGCAACCGAUAACCAUGGUUAUGGAAAGCCCUCCUUAAAUGGCCAAUCUACAUGGUGGUUCUGUAUGGAUGCCAGAAAAGGCCCAAAAAGUGUGAGUACAACCAAGGAAAAGAUUUGCUGAUUGCUUAAAUUAUAUUAGAACAAUUCGUCCUUUCUUAAUUUCUUUUUUCUGAUGACUAACACUAGGUCUUGUAACAAAACAAAGCUGGAAACAGAAUAGCUAAGAAAACGAAACAGGGGUAGAAAGGGAGGAAGAGGGGGGAAAGUAUUUACUCAAAUCAAGAGCUUAUCAUGUUUUAGGUGAACGUCUGAUCCAGAUGCUGAAGAACUAUCACUAUCAGAAUCUGCAGAUAGUAUAGCACAUUAAAUUAGAGAUACACCGUGAGGUACUUGCUGAAAAUCAGUUAAACAACGAGCAACUAUUAUGCAUGUUGCAUUGAGACUUGCAGGAGAGUCAUAAUUACCGCUAGAGGACGAUCCUGAAUCACUGCUGGAACUGCUUGAGCUGCUAGACCUACUUGCACUAUCCAAUGGUUUUCCACCUUCCGUAAGCGUAGCAGGAGUUGUAUCCUUUUCACCUGCUCGUACGCGACAGCAAGAACAAUGAGUGUUUUUCACCUAACACAUGAAACUUGAAAGUUGAAACCUAUCUAAGAGAAUAUUUCCUCCUAUGAGACACUUACCAGUUCCAUUCUGUUUUGGUGCAUCAGCAACCACUGACGUAGCAUUCUACAAUGAAUUUUCACAGAGUAAGCACCUCAAACAGAAAAACACACAAUGACUACUAAAGAGGGGAUGAAGAGCAUGAUACAUAAGAGAACAAAGCUCACCACUAUUCGAGCAGUCUGAGCAGCUUCUUCCCUGGCUCGAGCAAGUUCAGCUUUUCUCUUGUACUUGCUAAAACUCUUUCUGAAAUUUGUUACAAAUCUAUCAAGCUCCCAGAGUGUUUCUGCAUCAACACUAUCUAUAUCUACUUCAAUCUCAUCGUUGUCUUGACUAAGUGCUGAAUUCCUCUUCUUAAUUAUCUGAACAAUUGCAUCAAGCUUUUCUGAAGGUAAAUUCUGAAGAUUUGUGCUAAGUUUCUGCUUUUCCUCAUACGUCAUGUCUCUCUUAUUGGGAUCUUUUGCCUUAGGUUUCUUUGGAGCUGGAGUCCUAGCAACAUGAACUGUACUAGAAGUCUUCAUCUUGGGACGACCAACCGGCCUAGUCAUUGACUCAGAUCUAGCCAAAGUCUGCAGUUGAUGAGCAUGUGGAGCGAGAGAAUGAGAAGCCACUGGGGUAUGGAAAAAGGGAGGAGCAUAAGAGGUCAUUCUUGAGGUAGGGGUGGGAAUACUACCAUCAGGAUACGUUUGCUGCCUCCAAUCUGAAUUAUACUCGGCCUCUAUAACUGCCCAUCUCUCUUCAAAAAUCCCUGAUAAAUGCUCGGCCAUAACAUGAACAUCUUGCCCUUUAGGGUUAUAAGUCAUGGCAUUACGAAAGACAAGUCUUACGUCUUCUGCGAAUUCCCUUGGAAACUUGUACCAAUUCUCAGAUAGCCUAGUCUUAAUCGUGCCCAAAUCCAUAGGAUGCUUAAUGAUGUCAUGAUAAUCAUGCAAACCGAGAGCUUCCGCAUUCACUGGCUCAUUAAACACCCAACCAUGCUGGUGUUUCAUUAACCUCUGAAGCAAGCUGCUACAAUUCCUAAACACCUGAAGUCUAUGCUUAUCAAACCCAGACACAAACGCAAACCCAUUCUCUGAAUUAGCACUAUGCCUCCCCGAGCCAUUAGGCUUAAAUCUUUUAUUGCUUUCAGGAGGCAAUCUAUCUUUACCAAGUAGGAACUCGGAAUUCCUGUAAUACUGGUUAGCCUUCGGGAUCCUCUUCUCCUUCUCCAUAAAUUCAUUAGAACCAUUACUGUUUUCGACAGUCAGAAAACUAGGUUGCUGGAAUGGCCUUGAUCCAAUAUGCCCCGCUGAACGCACACCAGAAUGCAUUCGCGCUAAAGACCUAUUCUUGAUCACACCAUUAUCUAUAUAUCCCGGAUGACUAUAUGAGCUAAUAGAACCGCCAGGAACAGUAGUAGUAAUACUACCAGCAUUAAUACUACCGCCAUUUAUACUCGUCCUACACGUUGUAAGCUGAAUCUGUUUAGCCUCGAGCUCGUUUACCAAGCUCCUAACUUGAUCAAGCUCACUCUUAAAACUCAUACUUAGCUCUCUAAUAUCAUCUCUCGACUUCACUCCAGUUAAAUUAAUCCUAAUUCUAUCACGAAUUCUCGAAAUUACCGGCUUUAUAUACCCAUUCUCCACUUCAAGAUUGUAACUUCGUUGCUUAUUUCUAUGAUUCUGUGUCGGGGCUAGGGUUCCACUGCUCCCUUCUGGUACUUCACCAGCUCCGCUGCCGCCACCAAUAGCUUCAGGUACAUCUCUACCACCUCCCUCUUCCUCCGCCGCCGCCUGUAUCAGUUGCUCCGGCGAUUCCGCUUUCUCAGCAUCUAGGUUUUGUAAGGACGGCUCCGGCACAUUAUCAUUCUCGUUCGUAUCCCUCCCGCCGUUGCAUGUAACAUCCGGUUCAGCUGCAGCUGAGCUGACGGCGGCGGUGUUCGCCGGAAAAUCAUCAGUGUUAGUAUUUUCUAGGGUUUUGCGGCGGCGCUUGCGGGUAUAAACUUUGUAAUUAUCGCCCCAACGAAGGCUAUUUCUGGGAUUCAAAUCGUUUAAAUCUGAAUCCAUACAUGUAAUUCAAAAUUAUUUUAACCAAAAACUGUUGAACAAACUAAACCCUAACCCUAAAAAACUCGAAAACCCGACCCACAAAAAACACAACAACUAGGAUCUGAUUGAGGUAAACACUUCAAUUUUCCCCCAAAUUGAAAAUUGGAAACCCUAGAUCGGUCGGAAAUCGAAGAAGUACGGAACUAGGGCUUUUCGGAAAAGGAGGAGGAAAACAGAAAUUAGGAAAAGUUGAAGGAUCUGUUGAGAAAAUAAGAAAAGUUUAGGAGUGAGAUUGCAGAUUUUAUUUUUUUUCGAUUGAGAGAAAAUGUCUUCGAUCCGAACUCUACUCACCUACUUUCUUCCUUUCUUUUAAGUACUCAUUAUAUUUUAUUGGUCAAACCAGUUGACAGGCACUCAACUUGAUACCAUAUUUUAUUUUGUCACCUCAAUUAAGCUUUUGUAUAUUUUGAACACUUAAAUAAUUUAGAAUUUAUAGUUUUAAACACUUUUUCAAUAAUUAGCUAAAAUACAAAUUAUGUGUAUUACACACGCCAAGCAUAAUAACCACUUAAAAAAUGACAUGUGGCAUUUGAGACUAAAAAAAAUCAUUAAAAAUAAAUUAUAAAAAGAUUACUAACUUUUAUAAAAAAAAAAAGUUAGCUUCUUAACCAAUCCUCUCCUCCUCACAUAAUUCCCCCGCCAUAACCAUUACUCCCUUACUAAUAACUAUCUUUCACUUCAUUUUUUAAUCUUUUUUUUUUUAAUUCAGAUAAACUUCAUAAGAGAAUUUAAAAAAGAAGCUAGAAACGACACGAAACAUCACACCAACAGCUGCUAACUAAAAAGUCGUAGUUAAAAAAAUGAAUGGAUAAAAUCUGAAAAUUAAGAAACUGAAACCGUGGAUUUAUAUUUUUGCAAAUGAAAUGGAUUAUUAAUUCGUAUGAUUGUUCUAAAAAAAUAAAGUAUUUGUCAGAAAUUUCUUGAAAUCCAGAUUCGAUUUCUUUUCAUUAUAAACUUCUUUUCUUUUCUUUUAAUUUUUUUCUGUCUAGUUUUAAUUAAUAGGCGAAAUUAUCAACUGCAUUAAUAUAUUAAUAUAGUGAGAUAAAAUCUUGAAAGAAAAAUGAAGUUUCAUAGGACUUCUUUUUUUGAUGAUUUUUUUUAAGAACUUAAAGUUUAUUUUUGAUUCUGAUUAAACGCAAAAGAAAAUGUCACGUGUUUUAAGAGAAUGAUGGUGGUCUUAUUUUUUGUGUUGAACAAGUUAACAAUGGUGGAUAAUUUGUUAAUGGUAGAAUCUUAAAUGGAGAAGAAAGAGAAAAAGAAGAAAGAAAGAAGAAAGCUGAAGAAGAUGAAGGGAAUAAAAAGAAUAAAAAAUUCAAAAACAAAGUCAUUUUUAGACUCUUCGCGCGCCUAGUUGAGGUGAAAAUCAGACAAGUUGUCAAGUCAGCAGAAAGUGUCAAAAUGACACAGUUAGACCUUAUUUUAGGUGCCUAAAGUGAACAACAUCCACUUGAAGUGGCAAAGUGAAAGAUGGUGUCAAGUUAAAGGGUCUGUCGAUGGAUUUGGCCUAUUUUAUUUGUUUUUUGAUUUUUCAUCCGAUAAUUAAUACCUGUAUUAGAUCGACAACUCACGUCGAAAAGUUCAACAUUAAGGGUAAAGCUCUUCUUAAGAAAGGCGACUCCAUAUUCUUGGGAGACUCAACCCUGAAACCUCUAAUCUAUCCAUAUAUAUAUAUAUAUAUAUAUAUUGAACUUGAGAAUAAGAAAAACAAAUAUAUAUAUAUAAUAGGAGAAGUAAAAACGCCACAUGUCAGCACCACAAAAGUCAAUAAUUUGUUUUUUAAGAAAAUUGUUUUACAAAUCUAUCUAAAAAACUAUCUCUAUUUAUAUCUAAUACUAGUUAUUAAUAGUCCGUGUUAGGCACAGGCCCAACAAAUAUUUUUAAAAAAAUUAUUUUAAUUAUUGUGAUUUAUAAUAUUUUUUAAAAAUAUAUAACAUAUUAUUUUCUUAGAUAUUUUAAAUUGUUAACUAUUGUAAUUUAUAAUACUUUUUAUGUAAUUUUCAAAUGCUUAGAUGACUAUAAUAAUUAAUUAUGGAUGAUAUAGUAAAGCUACGAGUGAAGCAGCGAAGCAGAUAUGUCUUAAUGACUCACAAAAACUAAUUAGAAGCGAUACAAUAAAACUACUAAAAAAAAAUACUUGUGAAAAAAUUUAAAUGGUCAUAAUAAUUAAUUAGGAGUGAUAUAGUAAAAUCACGAUUGAAACAACAAAGCAGACAUAUCUAAUUAGAAGUGAUACAACAAAAUUACUAUACAAAAAUACCUGGUGAAGCAGCUGAAGCAGACAUGUCGUAAAUAUCUAUUUUACUUUUUAAUUGAAUAUUAUUAAUUUUCUAAUACAUAAAUAACUUAUAAUAAUUAAUUAGAGAUAAUAUAAUAAAAUCACGGAGGAAGUAGCUUAUGAAGCAGGCAGGAUCAUAAAUAUCUAUUUUACUUUUUUAGUAAAUAUUAUUAAUUUUUUAAUACAUAAAUAACUUAUAAUAAUUAAUUACAGAUCACAUAAUUAAAAUCACGGAAGAAGCAGUUGAUGAAGCAGACAGGAGUAGCAGGUAUACUGACGGAGAGCUGCCUGUUUCUCCUGCCUUUUGCCUUUUUUUUUUUUUGGUUGAAGGGGGAGCAUAAUAGUUAAUAAUAAAAUAGAGUUAUUACAAAAUAGGUUUUCAGGUCCUCUAAAAACCGAUGGUCUAUAGCAACAAUUAUAGUAGAUACUUGAUUAGAUGUAACCUUUCUAGGAUAACUAGUUCCUAAUUUGUUUGCUUCCAGUAGAUCGUUCACAGACAAAGGUGGAGCUGUCAAAAUUUGCAUCUGGUCAAAACAUGGCUCCCCUCCCCUUGAUCUUGCUAGUGCAUCAGCGACCUUAUUCUAUUCUCUGCAUAUGUGCUUCAGUACUGGGUUGCCUAGUCUCUAGAUUAAGUACCUGCAUUCGGAGAUGAUAUUGCAGUAGCCAAGAUGGUUAGCAUGAAUCAUAUUGAUUGCAGUAGCUGAAUCCGAGUUAAUUUCGAGAGGCUAAUCUGAGACGUUCUAGGAUGGCUAAUAGUUCAGCCUGUUGUGCAUCAACAUGGGGGAGGUAUUUUGUGUAGCCUAGUGUCCAGUUUCCUUCAUGGUCUCUAAAGACACCUCCCAGCCUACCUGGACCCAGUUGGCAAGUUACACUUGCGUCAGUGUUAAGCUUGUGCAUGCCCAGUUGAGGAGGUUUCCAGUUAAGGUAGAUAGUGGAGGUAGGUUUGGGGUAAUUACUUGGGUUGUCAAUGAUUAAGGCAUAUUUAUUUGCGAGUGCUAAGGUUUGUUCAAUAGAGAUAUUAUCAUCUUUGUUAUUAAACAAGUUAUGGUUCCUGUUUAUCUAAAUAUUCCACAAACAGAAGGGCAGAAUGGUUUCCCAAGAGUACCAGGUAUUAAAGGGCUUAUUCCUCAGAUUCUUCCAGGUGUCAACCCUGUUGUGAUUAUUGAGGAAUACAGAAUUGAAGGAGGCGAUGGAGGAACUUUUAGAGACAAUCCCAUCCCAGAAGGUUAUGGAUUUGAGCAUUAGAAGGAGAUAUGAGAAAUGUCUUCUACACUAUUAGGACACGACUUGCAGUGAGGUAAGACCCCCAUAUCAAGGUGGUUGAGGUAGCUCCCAGUAGGCAAUUUGUUAUGAUUAAGGGUUAACUGAUGAGUUUAUCCUCCUAAUCAGUUUGAAGUACCUUGUCUAUGGACAGUAUCAAGGGUUAACUGAUCUUCGUCUUUGUUAAGGGGGCCUGUCACAUAACUCUUGAUGGACUGGUGGUUGGGAAUCCAUUUGUCCAUGAAUAAUUUGACUCUGUUCCCUUUACACACAGUCCAUCUAUGGUGUUUUGAUCAUAUGGACCAGCCCUCUUCAAUGCAUUUCCAAGUUCUGGAGCAUGCCAUUUGGGUUAGGCUUGUAUGAUAGUUUCUACAAUAUUUGUUGUAGAGGGUUUUUGCCCAAAUGGAUUGGGUGUUAUUGUACAUUCUUUAUGCUAGACUAGUGUGGGUAGCUUUGUUUCUAUUUUCACAUUUUUGGAGUCCCAGACCUCCUCUCUCUUUGGUCAAAGAAACAGUUUCCCAGCUAAGCAUGUGGAGUUUUUUCUUAUCAGCAGUGGUACCCCAGAUAAACUUCCUUUGAAUUUUGUUUAUGGUUUUUAAAAUUUUGUUAGGAAGUUUGACAAAUUACAUAACAAGGGAGAGGAUGGAAGCAAGGGUAGAUUUAGUGAGAACUAGUCUCCCAGCCAUAGAUAACAUGUUGACUUUCCAUCCAGCAAGUCUUUUAUGUAUAUUGUCUAUGAUGAACUGGAAGUCACUAUUGUUUAUCUUAGCAUGGAAGAUGGGGAAACCCAAUUACUUACCAAAAGAGUCACUGGGAUUGAUUUUGAGGAUGGUAGAGCAAGAGGAAAUGGUAAUGUCUUUGCAGUUGGAGGAGAAGACCACUUUGGACUUGGUUUGAUUGAUCUUUUGGCCUGAAUGAUUACAAAAAGCAUUAAGGACAUGGUUAAUAGCCUGGCAUGCUUCAGGAUUGGCUUUAGAAAACAGAGUUAGGUCAUCAGCAAAGAAAAAUUGGGAUAUGAAAGGGCCAUGGUGGGAGAUGUUGAUGGGUUUCCAUUCUUUACUGAGAACUUGAGAGUCAAUGGCCCUGGAUAACCUUUCUAUGCAUAGAAUGAAGAGGUAGGGGAAAGGGGAUCCCUUUGCAUAAUGUCUCUAGUUGGUUUGAAUUCCUUGGACUUAAAGCGAUUAAUGAGAAUAGAGAUGGAUGUGGAAGAGAUAUAGGACAUAAUGAGUUUGAUAAGAGACUGGGGAAAGCAAAGUAAUCAAUUUUCAAUAUCAUAUUGCCCUGUUUCCCUUUUAUUUUUUUGAAAUGGGUUAUGAAUUCCUGGAUGAUAAUAGCAUGGUCAGAGGCCUUUCUAUUGGCAAGGAAGCUGGCCUGACUGGGGCCAAUGAUUUUGGAAAGGAAUGGUGUUAUUCUGAAGAUAGUAAUUUUAGUGAUUAAUCUGUACAAGGUAUUGCAUAGGCCAAUGGGCCUAUAACUCUUGAUAUACACAGCAUUAGGGCAUUUAGGGAUCAAACACAGAAGGGUUCUAUUUAUAGAGGGGUCCAUAGUGCUGGUGUUGAAGGUUUCCUAGCAGAAGGUCUUAACCUUGUGUUGCACUAUAGCCCAGUAUUUCUAGAAAAAGAUGGGUUGGAUGCCAUCAGAACUAGGAGACUUUAGAGGGCUGAAGGAGUUGAUGGCUCUGGUAAACUCAGUGUCUCUUAGGGGGUGGUUAUAAGAGAUUGGUCAGUGGUGGUCAGGGUGUUAGUGGACAUGUGGAUUUGAUUGGAGGAGUAAGUAGAAAUUGGGGAGACCAGAUGGUAAGUGGUGAAAAUGGAGGAGAAGAAUUCAGUGAUAUAAGUUUCUAUGUCAGCCUGGUUCUCAACCCAGUUACCAGUCUCAUCCUUUAAGUUUAGGAUUUUGUUCCUUCUCCUUCUGUUGAGGGUAGAGACAUGAAAGAAUUUGGUGUUGGAGUCCCCUUGUUGGAGCCAGUUUAUUCUUGAUUUUGUUCUCCAAAAAUAUUGUUCAUACUUAAACAUGUUAUUCAGAAAUAAGAUCACUCUCCAGGUUUUAAAGAAAUGAACUGGAGGCAUAGUGGGGAGAUUUUUGGAUUCCUUCAAUUCUAGCUAUCAGUCUUUUCAGUUUUUGGAAGAUGUUUCCAAAAACCUCUUUAUUCAAAAUGGUGGAAUUAUGUUGGAGGUUGGUGAUAGCUUAUAAGAUAGGAAGAGAAAUGUCAAAGGAAUGGUAGACUACUCUUUCAAAGCUAGGGUGUCUGUUCCACAUAGGUUCCAUUCUGAAGGCUCUGUUGACGAAGUGUUGGUUUAGCCUAGAGAGACUAACCAGCACGGGGCAGUGGUCAGAAUGGGUUCUGAGGAGGUGAGUGAUGCAAGUGUCAGGGUACUUAAAAAUCCAAGGGUUAUUGACUAGACAUCUAUCUAGUCUUUCAAGGAUAAGUCUGCCUUUUUUCCUAUACCUUUUGUUUGUCCAAGUAUAUUUGCUACCCUUAAAGCCCAGGUCAACUAGACCACUCAGGUUCAAACAUUUCCAGAAAAGGCUGGCUCUGUGGGGGUUUAUAUGGUUUCCCCAUACUUCUCCUUGGCUUAGAGGAUUUCAUUGAAGUCACCCCCUAUGAACCACUCAAAGUUAUGAUUUUUAGCUAAAGUAGUGAUGUCAUCCCAUAAAGUAAUUCUGGUGGGGAAGUCUCUGCUAGCAUACACAAUAGUAAAAAGCUAAGAGUGAGAGGAUUGAAGUACCUUAACUCUGGUGUGGAUAAAUUAUUGGGUGAUGGAGAUGUCUUCAAGUUUGAGGAUGUUAUCCUUCCACAUGACCACCAUCCCUCCAACUCUGUCAAUGGAAGGAGAUUAGAUUUAAUCAUUAAAGCCCAUCUCAGAGGUGAUGCCCUUAUACUCAGCCAUUUUUAUUUCCAGCAGAACAAGCACGGCAGGGUUGUGUAGCUUCACUAGGGAGGUACAUUUCCUCCUAAAGGUAGCAUUAUGGGCCCCUCUAAUAUUCCAAAUAAUGAAGUUGAUCAUUGGAUGCAUUGGGAUUGGUGGGAUGGUGAUGACAGUCUUCCCUUUCCCCUGGGUUUGUAAGGGGUUGGGUGUCUUGAAUGGUCUCAUUGUUAUCCCAGGUGGGUUCAGUUCCAGUAUGUUUUUCAGGGUCAGAUAAAAGGUCAUUGAAGUCUUUGGACAGAGCACUAUAAUAGCUUCUUUUGCUGGAUUUUUGAACUCCUUUUGAAAGUAGUCCUCUAGGAGAAAAGUCUAUGGAGCUUGAUCUCCAAGGUUUUUUAAAAUCUCUUCCAGUUCCUGGUUGCAUUAUUUCAGAUUGUUGAGGUUGGAGCUUCCUUAUCCUUCUUGGGUUUUCCCCAUUUUCCUGGAGGUAGAGGCAAUUGAUGACUCAUGAGAGAGCCCAUUGGGUUACAGGGAAUGAAAGAGGAGCCCAGAAGGGAGACAUUGGAAGCUUGAGUUGGGAAGAAAGGUAGGUUCUGAAAUAUUUGGGAUAGGAGGUGGUUGUGAUCCUGAGUGUGAAGGUGUUCAGAGUCCAUAGAUACUUGUGCCUGCAAGAGGGUUUGCAUCCACAAUUGGUUGCCCAGUUGAUGGAUUGAGCGGCCUAUUUUUUUCUUCACCACAUUGUUUAAGUAGUGGGGAUCUUGCAGAGUUAGGAUCACAGGUUGGUCCCCAAUGCAGGCAUUGAGAGUUAGAGAAAAGUCCUGCAGCAGUAGUUCUAGAUAAGAGGUUGGUGAGUGUUCUUGGGGAUGAAGUGCAGUCAUAAAAAAUAUGGGGUUCUUUGGUGUGUAGGGUUGCUGAGUUUUGUCCAUCCGUAUUUUUGGGGUGACAAGAUUGGGAAAGGUUAGGUAAAUUCUUACCAUUUUUAGAAAGGGGAAGGAGGUUGGUAGGAGGUGAGUUAAGAGAUAUGACCUCAAUGGUCAUAUCGUGGGCGUUGGGGGCAUCAUUAGAUCUCUUUUCAGAGAAGUUAAGAGUGUCCAUUAAAUGGAUUGAUCCUUCUAGGGGGCCAUGGGGUUUAAUGGACAUGACCUUUAGGGUCUUAUCAGCUACAGUGGGAGGCUUGUCAUUCUUUUCCUCAGGAAUGUUUUCACUUAGCGCAUUAAAUCUAUUAUUAAAAGAUUGGGAUCUCUUAUGGUCCACAGAAGUGGUAGCUGUGGUGCUAGAAUUAGGACUAUGAGUUUUAUCGUUCAGGCGAUUUGAGGGAAUGUCCUCGCCUAAUGGCGUUGUAGUACUUUGUAUUGAUUUGGCUUUGAUUGCCGACCUAGAUGGGUCAUCAGACCUCUUUGGUGGCUGAGAAAGGGGAGUUGAUCUCUUGGAGUUACUGUCAAUCGAGUUUCUUUGGUGAGAGUACUUACCUGUCCGUGUUUCCGAAUCUCGAACCUAAUCUGUGGAUUUGUUUUUCUGGAAUCUUCUCUUAAGAAAACUUACCGAUUUCGACAUAUCCUCGUCUUUGUCUGUUGUGGGAGGAGAAGUAACUGGCGAAGCAGAUGAACUUGCAACUGGAGGCGUUUAUGGUGGUGGCGUAAAGGUACAAUUUUUUAGCCUGUGUCCUACUCUGCUGCAACCCACACAAAGCACGUCAUCUCCUUCGUAUUCUACCGGCUACGUGUAAUCUCCGAUUGUAAUAGUUUUUCUCACAAGUUCUCCUAAUGAGAUCUGGAUACAAAUGCGUGCAUAUCUCCCUCGAAGGGUUGAUGAUGUGCACGAGUCAAUUUUGAGUAGGGAGCCCAGAUGAUUGCCGAUUUUUUUCAGGAUCUGCUGGUCGUAAAGUUCCGUGGGUAACUGUGGUAGUCUAACCCAGAUGGCGGUGUGGGUCAUCGUUGAAAUGGAAGGCACAAAAUUUGAUUUUCAGGCAAUCACUGACAGGAAGCCCCCCACAAUGAACCACGGUUCCCCAUGCAAGGUUGUAGUUUUGUUCUCCUCCUCCUCCUCCUCGCCUUUUGCCUCUUAUUAGAUAGUAUCUACCUUUUGCCUCUUAUUAGAUAGUACAAGAUAAAAUAUAACCACGUUUGCAACAAAAAAAAAAAAUACUCCAAUUAACAAAUUUGGAGAAAAAACUGCUAACAAAAACUACCCAAGUUUCUCUGUUUCUUGCUUCAAACUGUUCCUAUUUUCCUUUAUUACUUUCAAUCUCCUAACUCUAAUUCUUUUUGCAUUCAAUUUUUUUGUAUUCAAUUUUUACUGUCUAUUCAUCAAUUAUGCUUUUUGAUUAAUAUUCUGGGUUGCAGGAAAAAGAAAAAUCAACGUCAAAGAAAUAUAUAAGAAGACGGGGUACAAGAGGAACCCCAAUCAUUUGUGGAGGAAAAGAUGAAUAAUGAAUAUUGCAGAAUCUCGAGUCUUCAGUGAAUUUUGAUACGAUUCCAAAAAAAAAUCUCAUAAAAUACUAUUGGUAAGAUACACUUUAAAUUAUAUCAUCAUACUAUCUUAUUAUAAAUUGCAACAUGUUCUUGAAAUUGAAAAAAAAUAUGAAUAAGGGUGGUGAAAUUCGGUGCACUUUUUCUGCGACAGAAUUUUUUAUAAAUAUUUUUCCUAAAAUAUGAAUUAAGGUUGAAAUUUGUGUGUGUUAAAUAUUGAAUUAUUUAGAGAUGGUAUCUUUAUCUUAAUUAAUUGAGACCAUUUCAUAGAAUAUAAAAAUAAUACAGAUCUAAAAAUAUGAGAUAUUAAUAAAUUGAAAUGAUAGGAUGAUGAUGUUGCUUGCCGGGCUUUUAGAUAAAUUAAUUUAUUUAAGAUCCCUUUACAUUAUUUGUUGGGGAGGAUUUUAUUUUGAUUCCCUUAUGUUGAGAAAUAGAUACAUUGAAUAGGAAACAAACAGGUAGAAAAUGAUAUUGGAUGGUUAUAGUGUGAAUAAGAUGCAAAAAAACACAAUCUUUCAUAGCACAUUGAGGAUCAGCAAAUAAUUAACUAAGAAAUUAAAGUAUUAAAUAUUACAUUUUAUAAUAAAAUACGUCACUAUUGGACAUAAUAGGCAGAAUAAUGCUUGAAGAUUAGAGAACAGAGAAUGCCUUAGCCUUGAGGCUAACUAUUCUUUUCAGUAAUAAAAUAAAACAAAGUAAAUACUACUCAAAUAUUGAUAACUUCAAAUAAUUAAUUAAUUAUGAGCUUUUUUUAAAAAAAUAACAAAAAAUACAUUUCAUGAGUGAGAAAUUGUAUUUAAAGGUGUCCAGUGGAAAAAGUAUAAAUAUAUCAAAUUUACAAGAUAAUGAUAAAAUUGCAUGACAAUGUAAUAAUAUUAUGUAAAGAAUAAUGCAAACGGAAAAUAAGAAACGAGUAAUAAGUAAAAAUUAAGAAAAUCAACCUAGAAUAAAUUAAAAGGCUUAUUCGAAUUUAAGUUGAUGAUAAGGUUAUUUGAAUUAUGAUAUAAAAAUUUAAAUUGAGAAAUUCUAAGCAACUCAUUAAAAUUUAGAUAUAUAAUAAUUUUUUAUAUAUGUCAUUUAAAUAAUAAUUGAGAUUAAAAUACAAAAUAUAAUAUUGAAAAUAGCAUGAAAAAAUGUAAUUGCUAAUAGUAUAUACUACUAAAAUAAUAAUAUUCCUAUUAAUUAAAAAUACUACCAUUACUCAAAUUUUUAGUCCGGCUAAAACAAACUUAUGAAAAACUUGAUCUUAUCAUUACAUAAACUUUAGUUUGGCUAAUUAAAGUAAGUAACGUCUGAAAACUAAUUAUAAUUAGAUUAUCAAAAUAAAAUAUGUCUAUUGUGAGUUUUAAUACUUAUAUAAAUUGAUAUUCAAGUUAAUUUUUUAAAAAAGUCAAACUGUUUAAGUUCUAAAUCUAUGCAUUUAUAAAGGAACUAUUAUUUUAAUUUCUAGAAAAAAAAAAUUACUAAAGGGAGUAGAAGGAUAAACUAAGGCUUAAAAAGAAUUUAAGUCAUGUACAAUUAAUAAAAUGAAUAUAUGAUGUAAUAAGCUACUGAAAUGUAUGCAUAUCUAUAUCUAUAAUUUAUAAUCAAUACUUAUGUCUCUAUAAUCUAUAAUUUAUAAUAUAUAUAUAAUAUUAAAAGUGUGAAGACCCUUAGAGAAGUGAUUUGAAUUUUUUUAUCCUUCAUUAAAAGACUCUUCUUUAGACAAAAUUAUCUUUUCACAAUUUUUUAAAUUUAUUAUUUAAUUAUUUUUUAUUAUAUUAACUAGACUUCCUAAAAUAUACGGGACUCAUAAAAUAUACGGUAGGAGGAUUAAUUAAUAUUUUCAUUUCUACUAGACUUCCUAAAAUAUAUGAGACUCCUAAAAUAUAUUAAUGGAGAAUUAGUUAAUAUUUUUCUUUUUACUGUUCAAUUAGAAAAAUACUCCUAAAAUAGGACUCUAUUAAGAAAAUACUUCUAUAAAUAUUGAGAUAUACGUUAAACUAGAGAACAAACCGAUUUGCCUAUUGUGAGAAUAUGAUUGAUGCUCAUUUAACUUGAUUCUAUUGCAUGUCUAGAUUGGUGGAUGCUUGAUUUUUCUAACCCUCAACUUCUUCACUAUUUUUGUCAGAAUAAUAGAAUUCAACAUGUGUGUGUAUGUAUAUAUAUAUGUUUUCAUUCAAAAUCAAUCUUUAAGAUUAAAAUAUUUGCUCAGACAAGAAUUAAUUGGAUCAAAAUCGAAGUUUUGUGAUCACUAUUGUAUUUUUUUUAUAGUUUAUAGGUCAUAAAUGAAUAUUAGUUGGCUUAGAAGAUUUUUUUGUGUAAAGGUUAGAUUUAAUUGUAUUGUUUUGAUAUCUUUAUUAUCUUAUUAUUUUAUUUUAAUUCACAUAUGCUAGAUGAAUGUGGGGUGGCUUAGAAUUUUUUCUUAGGUAAAGGUUAGGUUUAAUUGUAUUAUCGUAAUAUCUCUAUUAGUUUGUUAUUUUGUGGUAGUUUAUAGUUCGUAGAUAAAUCUUGAUCGGUUUUGAAAAAAUUUUGUGUGUAAAUUUUAAGUUAAUUAUAUUGUUUUGAUAUCACUUUUAUCGUAUUAUUUUGUUGAUAUUUAUAGGUGAUAAAUAAAUGUUGAUUGACUUUGAGGAAUUUUUUUAUGUAAAGGUUAGAUUUAGUUGUAUUAUUUUGAUAUCUCUAUUAUUGUAUUAUUUUGUUAUUGUUUACAGGUGGUAGAUAAGUGUCAGGCGACUUUGAAAAAAAAUUAUGUGUAAAGGUUGGAUUUAAUUGUAUUAUUUUGAUGUCUCUAUGAUUGUAUUGUUUUGUUGCAAUUUACAGAUGGUAGAUGAAUAUCGAUCGACUUUUAAAAAUAUUUUUGGUAAAGAUUAGGUUUAAUAAAUAAAUUCUCCAUCUUUACAUACUCAAAAGAUAUUAAAUUUAAUUAUUAUAUUCAUCUUUAUUAUUUAAAUAAAUAUCCUAUUUAAUGUAAUGUUUGAACUCAUUAAAGUAAGUUACACGCGCAAUGUGCAUACAACUAAACGAGUAACCUAAAAGAUAGCAUGGGUAAUGGACAAUAUUGAUUAUUAUAAAACUUAUCAAAGCUAAGAUUUUAUCUAAAAAUAUGUUGAACAAAAAUUAUCAUCUCAAUAUUAUGGUGAAUUUCGUUUAAGUAUAUUUUAAAUCCAAAUGAAGAUAAUUUACUAUCUCAUUAUUCUUCUGUCAUUAUCAAAAGUCAUAAUAAAAAUUAGGGGUGUACAUAGAUUGGGUUGGUUUGUUUUUAAUUAGAAAAAAAAAAACAAAUCAAUCAUGUCGGUUUAUUAAACUAUUAAUCAAAUCAAACCAAAAUAAAAUUGAUUUUUUCGGUUUAGGUUUUAGUCGGUUCUUUCGAUUUUUUUAUUUUCCUUGAUUUUCUUAUAAUCUUUAAUUUUUACAAUUAUAUUGUGAUUGAAGACUAGAUCAAAUAUGUUUUCACUCAUGUUCUAAUGAAAAAUCACAAUUAUGAAAAAAUGAGGAGCAAAAAAUUCUCUUGAAACUAAAAAGUACGAUGAAGAGUGAAAAGUUUAGGUUUUAAGUUUAUCUUGGAUUUUGGAUCAUUUAAUUAGCAAUUAAUGGACAAAUAUUACAACUUAAAGGCUCAAAUAUGAAUAUAUAUCUACAUCUACUUUUAAAAUAUUGAAAAUUAAUUGAAAAAAUAGAUUAUAACUAAUAUUUUAUGUAUAAAAAAGUUAAUAUAUAUAUAUAUAUAUAUUUUAUGUCAGUCUGAUUCGGGUUCGGUUUGACUUUUUUUUUUGUUAACACCAAACAAAGAAUGGUCGAUUUUUUUUCUAACGGCAAUCCAACCAAACCAAACUAUAAGUCAAUUCUUUUUCUCGAUUUGAUUUGGUUCGUCGAUUCGGUUUGACUUGACUGUUUGGUCUGUACACCCAUAAUGAAAAUUCUCUCAUAUGAUGAGACUAUUUUUAAAUAAAUAUCAUUUUACAAAAAGACCACCUUAUGAUCUUCAUUACUAUUUCUGAUUAAAUCAAUUUUUUUUUUGGCAAUUAGUUGAUUUUUAUUAAUCAUCAAGUAAAACAGAUACAACUCCAAUGAGUGCCUUAGCCAUCCAGCUCAUUCUUUUUUUUCUACUUCUACAAAUCAAAGUUAUUAAAGAUGAUUGCGAACAACUACCAAAUAAGUCAAAAAAAUAGAAAUAAAGAAGUUUUAAGAAACAUUUAAUUAUAAUAUUUUUUUGUUAAGUAAUUAUAGCGUAUUAUUAAACUAUAUUUAAAUUAAUUUCAAAUUAUUUAUAACACGAACUAUAUAAUUAUGACAUUUGAGUUUCAUUAAAAAGAUAUACAAUAAUUACUGUAUAUAACUUUUUGAUUUGAUUAUUUAAAAAAAUUAUCGUUGGAUAGUUGCAAUGAGAUAAGGCAACAUUUAUGAUAUUGUUAAAAUGUAUAAUUUAACAGGCUUAAAUAAAUCAAUUAAUACUUUGAUAUACUCCAAUAAUUUAUAUGUGUUAAUAAUUUUCGCGCAACGCGCGGGUAUUAUACUAGUUAAAAAUAGAGAAGUAAUUAUUACUCCACCACAAUCUUUUUUUUUUUUUUUGGUUAGAAAGGAUUAAUAUAAAUAACAGAGUAAUAGUUACAGGAUAGCCGGUUAGUCCGACUCAAAAAUAGCAAGGUCCGCACUAAUGUUUGUGCUACUGGCUUUCACAGAUCUAUUAAAACAAGUUUCUAAAAUGUCUGUCCAGACAUGUUCUAGUGUAAACACAGGAGGAACUUCAAAAAUGCAUGUAGGUCCAAAAAUCCGCUUGUGUGCUCCUUCCCUUGCCAGCGAGUCUGCUACUUGAUUUUAUUCUCUAAAACAGUGUUGUACUGCUGGUCAUCCCACUCUUGUCAGCAUGAAUCUGCAAAGUUCAAGAAUAGGGUCAAAAUGCAUGUUUCCAUGUUUUAGCAUAUGUAUAACCUGUUGUGAGUCAAUAUUGAUCUCAAUGGGGUGGAGGUUGUUAUCCUCCACAAUUUUCAGGCCUUCCAGGAGAGCUAGGAGCUCCAUUUGAUUGUUAGUAACCUUAGGAUAGCCUUUGUAGUAACCCAGGAUCCAUUCACCAUUGUGGUUUCUAAUUACACCCCAUAUGCCCCCAACCCCUGAAUUUCCCAAGCUGGAACCAUCAGUAUUGAGUUUAUAGGAAUUGCGAGGUGAACAGAAAUGGUUAGAAUGGCUUAGGAUUGAGUAGAAGGAUGGUUGGUUAGGUGAGUGUAUUCAACAGCUGAAGCAUGAGACUUCUAAAAAAAAAAAGGAUGGAGUUGGAGCCAUUAAAAAUAUUCUCAUUUCUGCAAUUUCAGAUUUCCCACAAGCAAAAGAUAAAGAGCAUGUCAAGGUUGAUAACCACAAUCCUUAUUCAUACUCCAUUUCUCGUUUCGUUUCUAAAUAAGAAACAUAUAUAUGAAAAAAAUAAUUGACUCAAAAAAUAUCAUUUUAGCAAAGACAAAAAAACAAUUGACUUUCAUAUAUAUUUUUAUAUUAAGAAACUACUUUUUAAUAUUGUUAGAUUCUUAUGAGGUAUCUAACUAAUUAAAUAAAUGCAACUUAGUAAAAUAUGUUUUGUUUUGGGAGUUGUUUAGUAGGUUGUAUUAGAUUCUAUAAUGCAUGCAUAUAUAUUAAUCUAUUUAUUGUUAUAUGCUAAUCCCUUCGGUUCAUUUUAUUCAAUUUAGAGAAAAUGCAUAAUAAAUUUUUUAAAUUUGUCCAUAAAAUUUACUUUGAAAUUCUAACUUUUUAAGUAAUUAUUUACCCUCUUAAAUUAGUUUCAAUUGAAUUUAUACCUAAUUAAAAGUAAAAAAAAUCACAUUUAUAAUAAGAGGUGUUCUCCACACACUUUCACGUGUCAAAUCUUAUUUUUUUUAAUUUAUUUUUUCACUUUUUAAUCUUUUUGUUUUCACCAUCCUUGAAACAUAGCGGUCAUGACAGCGUCUUUUUUUUUUUUUUUUUUUUUUUUUUUUAUAACUUUGUUGAAAUACAACAAACUUGAAACCUCAAUAACCCACAUUAGGAUCAUAUUACCCCCAAUGAGUUUGCUUCAAAAUUUCAGCGUUAAAGAAUGAGACACUGAGAUUUUUCACAAAAGGUGCCUAUUUACCAUUUCUAGUAAUGUUGUCAUUGAUGAUCAAAAAAUCACACUCUUUUACUAAUUUUAUGUCUUUUUAACUUGCUAUCAAAGAUCUAUUUUUUUGAUCAUUUAUCCAUAUCAUUCUUAUUUUAGAUGAAGAAAGUCUCCAUCUUUUUUUUUUUUUUUUUUUUGAAAUUAUGGGUUAAAAAUAUAAAAUAGAAAUUAAAGUAAAAGAUUAAGGAAUUCACCGAGACAAAUAUUCGAUAUUUAUCUAUGUACUUUUUGGGGAAAUAGAAAGAAAGAAAAAGAGAGAAUGAGAAAAAGGAAAAAAAAAUGAAAGCGAAGAAGGUCUAUUGAGAAUUAACUGUAAUUAAUUAACAUUCCAAUUAAAAGGUGUCUUGUAUGUAAUUGAACUAUUUAUUUUUUAUAUUUUAUAUUUGCCACGCGUAUAUAGGAGAGUAAUCUCACUUGCGUUGCCACACAUCUUCAAAGGGGUAUUAAAUUUACUUAAAAUAAUUUAAGAGGGUAAAAAAUUAUCCGUAAAGUUAGAGUGCUAAAAUAAUUUAUGUGGACAAAUUUAGGAGAGAUUUUAUGUAUUUUUUCUUCAAUUUACUUGUCCAAUUUAUGACAUUAAGAGAAUUUUAUUUUAUUUAUUCUUUUUAUCUUAGUAUUAGAUAAUUAAAUAAAAAUAAUAAUAGUUAAAUUUAAAAUUUCAUAGAAUCAAUAAUAAUGUUAAUUCAGUAAGAAAAUACUUUUGAAGUUUUCUUAAGAACAUAUUAAGUCAACAAGGAUCAAACAAAAUAAAACAGAUGAAGACUGAAGUAUAUAACUAAAUACAUAGUAAAUCGUAGUAUUAUCAAUACAUGAAAUAUUAAUAGUUAGAUAAACAUGAAAAAAGAGAAAAAAUUUCUUAAUAUACCAAAUGAAACAAUUGAUAGAAAAUAGUCUCGAUAUAAUCAACCCUGAUGUAACAAAUCGCAACAUUACGCAUGACUAAUACAAUUUGUUCAUUGUUAUCCUUAUUCAAUCUAUCAAUAACGUUUAAUUAUUUUUUAACAUACAUGAAUUAAGUUAAAACAAUAUUUAUUUUUUGAUGCAAAAAAACUUGAGUCUCAAUUACACUAGCCCUUGUAUUGACAAUCAAGUUAUAUUUUUUAAUAAGAUUUUUAAAUAAUUUCAAAGGGCUCCAAAUAAUAGGGUUUGUGGAUCCAUAAAAUAUUUCACAUCAUAGACCUUUACUGCCAUUUAUAAAGGUUGAUCUAAGGUGAGAAAUUAUCACAAAUGUAAAAAUAUAAUACUUCUUGGUUAAUAUAAAUAAUAGGAUUUCUUAAUUCAAUAAUUGUUCGUCAUAUACUGUUGCAUAGGGGUGUAAAGAGAUCAUGGUGGUUCGAUUUUUCAUUAAAAAUUUAUUAAAUCAAUUAUGCCGGUUUAUAAAUUCUAUAAUUAAAUCAAAUUAAUAUACAAUCAACUUUUUCGAUUUCGAUUAAAGUAGUUUUUUUUUUUUUUCUUAUUUGUUCGAUUUCUUCAUUUUUUUUUUUAUAAUUACUCUAUUAUAUAAGCCAACAAGAGUUUGGACCAUCACAACAAUAAUUUGUUGUACAAAGAACAAUCUAAAGUGUACCGUGAAUUUGUAUAUUUAAGAGAUUUUAGUUCGCAAUUACUAUGUGUCUCUUAUCUUAAAGCGAAUAGCCAUAUAUAAAUUUGAUUUUAGUUCGCAGAUUUUAGACACACUUCUUUUCCUUUCUUCUUCGCUUUAUUUUUAUUUUUAUUUUUUUUGUUUUUCUCUUGAGUUGUGUUCAUAUUUUCUAUAAGCUUUCAAAGAUUCAAUCGGCUGGUAUGCCUGUUGCUACUCAUCUGAAGUGGUCCGAUAGUUCUACGUCACUUAAAUCGACGGAUAAUCAAGUUCAAGGCCAGCCUUUGCUAUCCCAUCACUUUAGCUUCAAUUUUAACUUUGAAUGUCCUUUGACUUUGUCAAAAUUUCAAUAUUUAACUUUGCAUGUCCUUUGACUUUGUCAAAAUUUCAAUAUUUUUUUUUGCUUAUGUUUUUUUCUUCAUUGGGUUUUUUUGAACUUUUUGCCAUGUGAAGGUAAGAAUUUAGAAAAUAUGUAAUUUUGGGUCAAAAUUUAAUACCGUAGUGAACUCUAAGAAGGAAGGGUUUACCACAAAAUAAUUUAAAUAAUCUGUGCAGGCAAUACUGAUCAUGAUAUUAGGAAUACAAAACUUGAAGCAUUUAAAUUUGCAGCUAUGCUCGCCUUGCACUUGUAAAUAUGAAUUGCAUAAUUCUCAAUUAAAAUUAUGUGAUGCUUAGCGUUUAAUAACAGAAUAUAAUUAGUCAGUAUGUUAUAUUUGUUUUCUUAAGAAGAGAACAUGAAAAAUGAUAUAAAAAGGAGUGCUUUCAGUUGCAAUUAUCCUUGUGUAUACCAAUUUCUUUAGUACAAGCUCGUUUGAAAUUUUUCGUUUACUAAAGUUAAUUUGAACAAUUUUGAAAUAAAUUUGGAUAGACAAUUUACAUUCUUAGUGUUAAAUAUUGGAUAUUUUUGAAAAUUUAAAGAUUGUAUUAAAUAUUAAAUAUAAAUGAUAGUUGUAAUACAAUUUGAAUUCAAUAUUAUUCAUCGUCAUGAAUGCGAUAGUUAUUAUUCUGGAACAUAUGUAAUACAUUUCUACCAACAUAAACUUAUUUAAAUAGUAUUGAAAUAUUUGAAACUCACGUAUAGUACUUAUAAUACAUUUGCACUUAAAAUAUUGUAGUUAUAUAUUCACCAUGUGCAUUGAAACAUACCUACAACAUGUAAAAUAUAUUAGGGAAAGGACAUGGGCUGGCCAUUUUGAAAAUAAAUGGCCAGCAAUUUUAAAAGUUGGACAUGGAGAGCCUGUCGACCCAAUUUAAUUUCGGUAAAUAGCCAUUUGCCUCAAAACUGAUACUCUUACAUAAUAAAGAGUAUUAAAUACUCUUUCAACGGCUACUCUUACGUAACUUUCCCGAAUCAUCUUCUCUUUCCCUCUGUUAUGCUUGAUAAAUUUAUUUUUUGCAUCAACAUCAGAAAUUGAGUUGUUGUUUCUUGCAUUGUCUGGACAUGAAACAAAAGAUGAGAAGUAAAGAAAAGUUAAAAUUAGCUAGUAAAGGGGUCAAUUUUGAUCCCAAAUUAUUAUUAAUGACGAUGAUUUUACAGAAUAAUCACAUAUGUCGUUGCACUUGAAGGAAUGUCCUAGUCCUUCAAACUCGAAUAAGAAAAAAUGUGAUAGAAUGGGGUCUCAAGAUAAGAGAAAAUCUAAGUCGGAAAGUCUAUGUUCUUCUCAGAGGAUGACUCGAUCACUGAGUCAGAGACUUUUUGGUGCAUGUAAAGAUCAAGAAAAGUAUCUUUCAAAAGGGAAGGAGAAGGUCGAUGAAUGUGUAGUUGUUAUUGCGAAGAAAAAAAGAAGCGAUUUCGGGAAAAAAAUGAUGAAGAUGAUGGUGUAUCGUCAAAGAAAAAACAUAAAGUUUCUGAUCAGCUCGGCAAACCAAGUUAUAGUUUAUUAGAUAUUGAGGUAUUCUAUAUUUUUUUACAACUGUAAUGUAUUUUUUUUGUAUAUGUGUGCAAUAUGAGACCUUACUUUGUAUGUUGUUGUUAUUGUAGUUGUUUUGUGCAGUGUAAUGUAUAGUGCUAACCUAUUUAGAAAUAUAUAUUUUUGUUUCAGGCUUGGGAUUUUGUUGUUUGACCAACUGAUUAUUACAUGACUCAUGUUAGUGUGCAUACAAAUUGCUCAAUUGUGAAUGAGCUAAAAGAUAAGUUCACUAAGGUGCAACUCGAUUUGUUUAGAAACACCUGUUUUGGAUUUUUUUUUAUUUGUCCUCUGUUUCCAUUCAAAAUUAGUUGAUACAUGCCACGUUGCUUAGGAAAGUUUUGUCUACUCAAAAUGAUGAGAUAUGGAUUAAAGUGAAUGACACAAAGUUGAGAUUUGGUCUAUGAGAGUUUGUUGUUAUAAGUGGCUUAAAGUGUACAGGUGAUGUUACAGUGGUAUGUAAUUUGAGUCAGUCUAGUCGCCUUAUGGACUCGUAUUUUUCAAAUCAAUCCAAAGUUACAAAGCUUGAGCUGAAAAAAAAAUUCUUGGAAAAAAAUAGCAAUUUGACGGGGACGCGUUACAUAUUGUCAUUCUUUUCUUCAUUCAUAGUUUUCUAUUUUCAAUUACGUAUGGUGACUUCAUAAAUAAGGAUAUUUUUUUGUUGGUUGAGUCUGGUUAGUUUGAGAAAUUUUUCUGGAGAAAGUUAUGUUUUCGUGCUAUGUUGGAUUUGAUACAAGAUCGACAAGGAAGACACUAAUACACACCAAAAUAGUCCAUGAUUUGAAGAACUGAGGACCCCUUUUGGUGACCCCUCUCGGAUUCACUACACAAUAACAAUACAAGCACGAUAACAACAAGAUUCUAAGGUGUUCAACACCUAUAAUCAGCGAGCCAAAAAUUAAGAUUACAACACAAUAACAAGAAUAAAAAUGACACAACAAGGUCUCAGGUUUGGAUACCCAAAACCGAGAAUGAACACAACAACAAUAAUAAGAUAGAAUGAUAGAUAACUUGACACACAAUACACAAACACUAUGAACUAAAGUGUAUAUUGAACACUAAAACCCAAGAAUUCAUACAAAUAACAUCAAGUUCUUAUGGUGACCUCAAGGGAACGGAAUCCCCAAGCAACCAACGUUUUAAACAAGUAACCAACACAAGUGAUUCCACACCUGUCACAAGUGAUAUCCACACUUGUAUGAGCACUCUCAAAGUGCUCUCAAAAUAUCAUCUAAGUUAUGAUAAAAUGACCUAACAUGUUCUAUUUAUAGCCUAGGUUUCAAACUAAUACAAAAUGACUAGAAUGCCCUUAAUGAGCCAAGACAAAGGGGAGGCCUUGGAGUGUGCAUAUUGGAUGGCUUUGGAGUGUUGAAACUUGUUCUCUACACUUCGAAGCUUGUUCCAUUGGUUGGGCAGCCACCCGAGCUUGAGUUUUUACAUGUUGGUCCACAAUCACGAUCAUACUUGUAUCAUCCCCCUUUUUUGAAAAAGAAUUCGACCUCGAAUUCGAACUUUGCAAAAUAAUAGGAAGCACAAACAAACACAAGUUCCUCAAGGCAUGAGGGUUAGGAUUAGUGUAAUCAAUCAUAACAUCUUGCCAAGGUGGCUCAAACUUCACAUACACCCUGUAGACACAUAAUUUUGUCCCUCCCCAAAAGCAUUCUUACCAUUUUACCCUCGUCUUAGUGUGUGCCCUCACCCGUGUGAUAACCCCUUCAUAAAAAGACAAAAAUAAUAAUUCCUAACUAAUUUUAUCUUAUUCUAACAACCCCUCCCUAUUAAAAAAUGACACAUCACCCUCACCACUCUCUCUCCACGUGACCUCCCUUUUUUAUUUCUUAUUCACAAAGCAAAUAAAAGGACCCAGAAGCAUAUUCCCAGAAGCAUAUUCCCUGGAGGGGAGACUCACUGUCACUCUCAAGACAAAAGAACCGACUGUAAUUCUCACAAGAAGGGAGAUACAAUAUUAUACAGAUAGGGGUCUUCGAUUUUUUUUCUUUUUCGACCGAACAAGAUACAUAUACACAGACCAAAAACUUCAUCAUCGAGGAUUUUUCUUUUCUAUUUUUGGAUACCCAUCACCAUUUCAUUGGUUGAAAUAGCAAAACACAAAGAUUGAAGGGAGAUUGAGAGAGAAGAGAAAAAAAGUAAGAGAAAGAGAGAGAGAAGCAGCAAGAGAAAGCGAGAGAAAGCAGAGAACCGCGAGAGAGGGAUAGAUAUGAGAGAGAUCAAACGAGAGAUGAUUCAGGGCAUAGGAGAGUAGCGCCUCCACUGUUAAGCUCACCGGAUCUCCAGCGAUGCUACAACAGUGACCAGAGCAUGCUGGGAAGCCACUAAAUCCGACCUCCAGUGUCGAUUCCGGCGACCAUCCACCAGAAAGCGACCAAAAAUAGUAACGGAGUGUGCUAAUUAGGUACGAUUGGUAGGGAUUUGUGAUCUUUGCUUUGGGUUGCGGGUUUUGCUUUCGUGAAUUCGUGUUCGGGUCAAAUUUUAGGAUUCUUACGGUUGAUUUAGUACGGAGUUGGUGAGUCCUUUGUUGAGGUUCGAUUCGAGGUUCUUCAGCAUGAUUUCUAUCCUUUCGUUGAAGCAUUAUUGAAUUUCAAAACCUUCGAAUCGAGGUCUAAUUCUCUUUCUUCUCUUCUUUAUUUCGUUAUUUGUCGUGUUCUAUGCUUUGAAUUGAAUUCGGUGUGCUGGGUGAUCCGUCGUGAUGUGAAUUAUUGUUUGUUUUGAUUUGGUUUUUGAUUUUCUUGAUUAUGGAUUAAUUAUAAGGUGUGUGAUGAAAUAAUAUCUCAUGGAGGAUUAAAAUUGAUUAUUUGGGGAAUGAGAAUCGAAAAUUGAUAAAAGUGAAUAUUAUAGUAUUUUGAUUCAUUGUUGAUGUUGAACGUGAUAUGUCAUCGAGCGGGUAGGCAAGCACUAGGCUCGGGUAGGCAAAAUUUAGAAUUGGUGGAUUGUUGGAAUGUUUGAAAUAUGUGUUGGAAUUGUUUUGUUUUAUCGCAUUUAAUUCAAUUAUACUCAUUUGGCUGGGGAAUGCCCCGAGGUACGUGUAUCUAUUCACCGGGGAAUGCCCCGACAUAUCAUGUACGCAAAAGAGGUUCGUGAUGAAGGCCCGAGGCAUAGGGUAAAGCACUGAGCGUAUUAGGAUUAGUGUAGGUUAGAUAGGGUUUAUUCUCGUAUUUUUUUUCUAUUUUGGACUGUAUAACUCGAACUGGACAUUAUAUUUUUUACUCAUUUUGUUUUGUUUGUUGUUUGAUUAUUUUACGUGUUUUAUGUGGUUUAUACAUUCGUAGUAUCAAAUUAGCUGAUAUGUUCCACCAAGCGACCGUGGUAAAACCACGGGACUGAGGGGUGCCUAACACCUUCCCCUCGAUCAAAAGAAUCCUUAAUCGGAAUCUCUAUUCAUAGAUCAGUUUAAAAGAGUUAAAAUUAUUUUCGAAAAAGGAUUUUCAACGGUGACUUGGCACACCAGAUUAUGCCAAGUGGCGACUCUGAGUUUAAAUAUAAAUAAUCCUUUUCGAAACAAAAUUUUUAUUUUUUUUCACUUUAAUAAAAGCCCUUUCGAAACUUAAAACGAAUCUUUUUGGAUGUUGAAAAAGGGGUGUGACAACUCUGGCGAAUCUGCUGGGGACCUAUUCAGAAUUCGAGCUAAUUUUGGAGUCGUAUCGGCUUUGUUUGGCACUAUAGGUGUAUAAACAUUUUUUUGUAUUGUUCUGUGUUAUUGUUUUAUCAUGAUGGAAUGUUUUCGUGCUCUUUGUGUACAGUAUUUAUUCUAUGUGUUACCGCUUUUAUAUCUGGCAUCAUGUGUCUACCCCCGGCCUUCUUUCUGUAACAAGUCCAUAGUACACGCGUUGUACACGACCUCUAGUUGAGUCACCCUUAUUUUAGAGGGGGGAGCCAUCGGUGUUAUGGAGUAGGUGGAUCGCAGCCACUAUCGACCAUACGUUCCCCCGAAUAGCCUUAUUAGUGAACCCCAACGUAGGUCAACCUUUAGGUCAUGCUUAUGUGCAUCAUAUUGAGACCUAGCGGGGCCCACUUACCUCUAAAGCAUCCCUACGUGCUAAAUGUUGCAUCUUUGAGGAUAACGUGGUCAUUUGACGGACUGAUUUGGAAAAAACAUGUGUUAGAAGUAAAGUGUGUGGGUAAUGAAAAAAAAACAAGAAAAAAAAAGAGGUUCGUAGUUUUUAUAGUUUUUUAUGGCUUAUAUUUUUCACAAUUCCAAAAUUCAAAAGGACCGUUUUACCUUUCGCACUUAUUUUCUCAAAAACAUCAAAAAGAUUUUCCUUUGUCUCGUUUAGCAUGCAUUCACAAUUCGAAAACUUCAAAAAGAUUUUUUCAUUCAUAGGAUUGUUUAUAAAAGAAAAAUGCAAAAAAAAAAAUGUUAGAAAUUUUUUACAUUUCGUAUAACGAAAAUACCAAAAAGAUUUUUCUUUCAUAGUUGUUGAUGUCAUUUUUCUGUGAAGUAUCAAAAUGAAAACUCAAAAGAUUUUAUUAACGUGGUUCAUCAUCUGUCUUUGGUCUUAUCUCUUAAGUCAGGGUCUAGCAUGUUAUUUAAUCAGUAAUUGUCCAAUCUGAACGAACUACGCACCCCUGAUUCUUCUCUCUCGGGAGUGAGAUAUGUUGGCAACCUAUUUUUGGUUCGGGGAUCUUAUUGAAAAAUCCAAAAAUAUUUCUUCACUCUCCAUUUAGAGUAGGCGUUUCAUAUACAUCUUUAAAAUAAAACUACAAAAAGAUUUUCCUUUAAUAGGUUCAAGUUUCAUUUUCACAUGAAAUUCAAAAAUCGAAAAUCCAAAAAGAUUUUUCUUUGGUAAUCACGGGUUUCAUUUUGUAUAGAGAUUUAAAACUUUAAAAAAAGAUUUUCGUCAAUUCUUUUGACACUUUGUUUCAAGAAAGAAAAAAGAGUUUAAUUGGUCAUUUUGGCAAAACUUCACGAACUACGCACACCUGAUUCUCCCCUUUCAGGGGUGAGAUACGUAGGCGCCCUUCUAGGGUUCGGUGAUUUUUUCUAGAAAAAAAAGAAGAGGUUUUGAAAACUAGUUGAACUCUAACGCAUUUGCUAUCUCUUGUCCAGUUAGUUUAAGGUGGUUGGUUUGUGGCAUUUUGGCUGGUCCUCCAUAUUGCUCCAAGUCACUGAGAAAUUUAUGGCCAACAAGGAUACCGAGUUUGUUGUCACUAAUCAGAUAGUGAUUUGGGGAAUGAGAAUGUAGGAGCUAAUGAAGAGAUUUGGAAAUUGAGGUAGAAAAUGAUAGAAAUGCAUCGAGCUUGGGCUAAUGGGUUGCCGCCUCCUCCAUUUCCCGCAGAUAAUCUAGAAUAUCUUUCUAGUUUGCGUCCAGUUUCACAUGCACAAUUUCCUAUUUUGGUCGACACGCCACAACAUGCAUCAAGACCUACUUCGGGGCAACAAUAUCCAAACACUUCCAAUAUUCAUUUCCUCACUCCUCAAUAUAAAAUUACCACAUGCCCAGCUCCGCCUGCUAUUCAUGCUUUUGCAGCCCCACUCCCAUCUGAAGCUCCUACUUUUAAUGUCAGUCCAACGGUUGUGAUUCCUCACUCUACAAGCGACCCUGUAUUGAAUAUUUUUAGUGAUCAGCAUUACACUCCCUAUCUCACAUUUAAGUCGACUGGUCCUUACGACUGCCCUCGACUGCCUGAAUUUUCUUCAAAUACUGAGAAGCCUGUUAUGACAGAAGAUCAAGAGAAAAUGGCCUGAAAAUUGAGAAGUUUGGAAUUGACUAUGAAAAACUUGUAAGGACUUGGGGGGUACCAAAGUGUCUCAUAUAAAGAUCUGUGCAUGUUUUCAGGUGUACAUCUUCCUUUUGAUUUUAAAAUGCUGAAGUUUGAGAAGUAUGAUGGACAUGGCGAUCCUGUAGCACAUUUGAGAUUUUAUUGCAACCAGCUAAGGGGCGUUGGAGGGAAGGAAUAAAUACUCAUGGCUUAUUUCAGGGAGAGUCUUUCGGGCCUAGCUUCAGAAUGGUUUGUUGAUCAAGACAUUGACAAGUGGAUUAGUUGGGAUGACCUAGAUAAUGGAUUUGUGCAACAAUUUCAAUACAAUGUGGAGUUGAUACCUGACAAAAUAUCCCUAACUAGUAUAAAAAAGAAGAAUACUGAGAGUUUCAGGGUGUAUGCGAUCAGAUGGCGCAAAUAAGCUGCUAGAGUAAAAUCGCCAAUGGAAGAAAGCAAGAUAGUGGAGGUGUUUAUUCAAGCACAAGAUGAAACAUAUUAUCAACAUUUGUUACCUGCAUCAGGCAAGCCAUUUAUUGAGGCAAAAUGGGGGAGAUGAUAGAGGAUGGAAUUAAGACUGGUCGCAUUGUGAGUUUUGCAAGAUUGAAAGUGACUACUCAAGCAAUUCAAAAAGGUUCGGAUAGUGUUGGAGGAAAGAAAAAUGGGGAAGAUACAUCUGCCACUAUAGUUGGACAAUAGGCACGGGCAAGAGAACCAUACCAUCGUUACCCACGGGCUCAAACCCAAGUUUAUGGCCAAGUUCCACAGAAUCCUUCCCAAAAUCCAUUAUAUUCCAUUCCCCCAUCUCCAUAUCAAGUGUAUAAUGUGCAACCAUAUGUUCAACCCCCAUCUUACCUACACUUGCGCGCGCCAACUCUGCCGAGUUAUCCUUCAACUCCACAUACAUAGCGAAGCCCUUCUAGGCCUGGUUUUCAAUUUAAUCCAAAUAAUGAAAUGAGACAGAAGUCGAGGGAUAGCUUCACACCCAUUGGAGAGUCGUAUACAAGUUUAUUCCAGAGAUUGGUACAGCAGGGCAUGAUCACUUUUCUCCUUGGGUAUACUCCUGACCCACAUUCAAGAAGUUUUAAUCCUAAUGUACGAUGUACAUAUCAUUCCGAUGUUCAUGGUCACAGUAUUGAAGAUUGUCGUGCUUUGAAAAGAGAAAUUGAAAAGAUGAUUCAAGAUAAAUAAAUCAUGGUGCAGAACAUUGACAGUGAGGAAAGCUCUAGUCAUGCUGAUAUGCAAACCAGUGGCUAAGAUGUCAGGUCGAGCAAUUGAGAAGUCACCCCUCUCCUUACUAGGAAGGGGUUUGGUAGCUUGUUUUAUUUUAUUUUUUGUUCUCCAAAUGAUUUCAGGGUUGUAGUUCGGGAUCUGUCUUAUUUUGUCCUUUUGUUAUUUAUGUUCAAACCCUUCUAUUUUUUGUUUCGACUAAAUGAAGUGUCUCAUUUUCCUUUGUGUUUUAAAUAUGUGUUGUUUGUUUGUUUUCUUUACAUAGUACAUUUUGUGUUGACUCUAGUGAUAUGACAUGCUGGUGAAACUUUCAGCCAGAUAAAUCCAGUCUAAGUAUGAACAUUGAAUUAGAGGGUUAAAGUUAGAAAAAGAGAGCAUAUGAGAAAAUAGAUAGAGUGCUGAGACAUUUGGUGAUAAGUUAAGGCAAUUAUUUUGAGAAUCACAAGAACAAAUUGGUCAUCGAUUUAAAGGCAAGUCCCAAUUAGGUCAAAUAGUGGACGUGUGAUCCCUGUAUCAAGAGAAAUAAGAAGAUAAGCAGCUCCACGAAAGCAUAAGUCAUUUGAUGUGAGGAAUGUACAACAAAGGCGGAGUUUGCAGAAGAAGUAGUGAUGCACAGUCUCAAUCUGCUUAAAAAGAUGUCGCAAAUGAUCUUCAUCUCUCACUUUCAUAUUACAUGAUAUGUACUUGCAUUUUCAAGGAUUGAUAUGACGAAGACAUUUCAUUCUGCUAUCCAAACAUCGUGUCAUCCUUUGUUUACCCCAUUUGAGCUUCAAUUAUAUUUUAUUUCAUACCCCUCUUUUGGAAUCAAUAUAGUCAGCAAAGCUCAAAAGAAAAGUGUCGAGCAAAAUAAUAGAUUCAGAAAAUGUUCAAAAAAAAAAGAGAAGAAAAAAAAUAUGUCCAAAAAGAAAAAAAAAGUGUCAAGACAAAUAGAGUCAGAAAAAUCCAAAGAGAAAAGAGUCAACAAAAGAAAAAAUUAGAAUCAAGUGAAAGAACAAGCUGCCAGAACUACGCAUGACCUGAUUCUCCUCUCUCGGGGGGGAGAUACGUAGGCUGUCCUACUAAGGGCUCGGUCCAACCAAAUAAAAAAUUUAGAAUUACCCAGUCAAAAGAAACUGGGGCAUGAGUUAAUCCUUAUUGUUUAAGUCAAUUCCAAAAGUUGUAAGUCCUAACCCACUUCAAGUGUCGUUUGGGCUUCAUGCCAUCCUUUCGUUCUAACCCUAUCCAAAAGUAAAGUUACAACCAAAGAAAGACCUUCAGAUCAAUCUUUGAGGAUGUUAAGGCAAAGCAUGUAAGGGAUAUGAUGAUGUAUUUGGGAACUACUUAUCUUCCUCAGCAUAAGAAAUCAGAAGAGAAAUAAAAAAUGAGAGAGUCUUAUUGGUGAAAACCCUCACGGGCACUAUAAGAUGAUGGUAAGUUGAGAGAAAUAAAAAUGGGAGAGUCUUAUUGAUGAAAACCCUCACGGGCAUCAUAAGGUGAUAGUAAGCUGAGAGAAAAAUGAGCGAGGCUUGUUGGAAAAAACCCUUCAAGGUGCCACUAGCCGAAUGAGGUCUUAAAUGCAAUUGACCUAAGGAAACAACUCAGUUUCAAGGCCAUUAACUCAACAACAAUUGGUAGAAAGUUUGGAUGGAAAGAUCAGACAGCCUGACCCAAAAUGCAUGACAUAAUCUUUAGAGUUGACUGUCAUUUUUAGAUAAAUUUUUAUUUUUUUGUUUCAAAUGGGGAUAUUCAUUAUAUUUUCUUUCGUCUCUUUAUUUUUGUUUAUCUUUCUUGAGUCAGUUAUCCAAAUAAAAAUCAUUGUCAUUUUUCUCUUGUUAUUGAGUCAAGUCUAUGUCGAAAUAAGUGAGAAAAGAUUUCAAAACUGGCUACUAGCUUCUUCAAUCGCACAAAGCAAGACAAAAGGCUAGCACAUGAAAGAGACAUGAUUGUGAGCCAAAACAAGGCAUGCAGAAAGUUGUGUCAACAAAAAAUUUUGCGAAUUCAUGAAAAUACCAAGGUUCAAAGAGUUUAUCUGAGAAGCAUGGCAAAGCAAAGAUACUGUGUUUGUUUCAGAAGAACUCUUAAUAAUCGGAGUUUGGGUCAAUGAUGCAGCAAGUCAAUGACAUAUGCUAAUGGUUAGAAGCGAGGUUAAGUGUGACCGGGGCAAGAGUGAUUCUACAAAAGCCAAAGCCACAAACCAACCACCAUGUUUUUAAACUAACAAGUUUUCUUUGUAUGAAAUAGGAACACAUACUACCUUCGAAUCAAGGAUUUCAAAGCCUAAACAUCAAGGGACGUAAUAUUCUCACUUCUACAAAUGCAAGAGGCAAUGUUGCUGCACAUAUUUGGUAUUCAAGCCUAUGGUAAUUCAAGCGACAUUUGUAAGGAGACACACUUUCUUGUUUUGGUAAUUCUAGCAACAUUUGUAAAGAGACACACUUCCUUAUUUAGGUAAUUCCAGUAAUAUUUGUAAGGAAACGCACUUCCUUAUUUGGUAAAUCCAGCAACAUUAGUGAGGAAACACACUUUCUUAUUUGGUAAUUCAAGCGGUAUUUGUAAGGAGAUGUACUUCCUUGUGUGGGAAAUUCAAGCAACAUUUGUAAGGAGAUGCACUUCCUUGUUUGAUAAUUCAAGCAACAUUUGUAAGGAGACGCACUUACUUGUUUGGUAAUUCGAUUGGCAUUUGUAAGGAGACGCAUUUCCUUGUUCGAGUAAUUCCAGCAACAUUUGUAAGAAGACACACUUCCUUGUUUGGGUAAUUCCAGCAACAUUUGUAAGGGGACGCACUUCCUUGUUUGGACAAUUCAAGCAACAUUUGUAAGGAGACACACUUCCUUAUUUUGGUAAUUCAAGCGCUAUCAUAAGGAGACGCACUUCCAAAGGAGACACGCUUUCUUUUUUUGGUAAUUCAAGCAACAUUGGAGAUGCACUUCCUUGCUUGGGCAAUUCAAGCAACAUUUGUAAGGAGAUGCACUUCCUUGUUUGGAAAAAAACUUAUUUGGGUAAUUCCAACAACAUUUGUAAUGGGACGCACUUCCUUGUUUGGACAAUUCAAGCAAUAUUUGUAAGGAGACACACUUUCUUAUUUUGGUAAUUCAAGCACUAUCAUAAGGAGACGCACUUCCAAAUGAGAUGCACUUUCUUGUUUUGGUAAUUCAAGCAACAUUGGAGACGCACUUCCUUGCUUGGGCAAUUCGAGCAACAUUUGUAAGGAGAUGCACUUCCUUGUUUGGUUAAUUCAAGAAACAUUUGUGAGGAGACGCACUUCUUUGUUUGAGUAAUUCAAGCAACAUUGGUAAGGAGACGCACUUCCUUGGUUUGGUAAUUCAAGCGGCAUUGGUAAGGAAAUGCACUUCCUUGUUUUGAUAAUUCAAGCAACAUUGGUAAGGAGAUACAUUUCUUUGAUUGGGUAAUUCAAAAUUUGCUUUUGGGUAAUGCACUUCCUAUCAGUCCCCUUGAUUUCUAGAAAAUGCACUUUCUAGUCUAGUUAUUGCACUUAAUCCUUUGGAGACGCACUUUCUUGCUAGUUUUCUUUUGUUAGGUGACACACUUUUUAACUUAAACUUGUAUCUCUAGAAGACACACUUUCUAGUUAGAAUCCCUUAGGAGAUGCACUUCCUAGUCUUGGUUAUUUAAUUUUACUCUUAAGAGAUGCAUUUCUUAGUCAGAGUCUUGAUUCAUCAUUGCAACAUGCAAGUAGGUAUGAUGUGACUUUUCCAAAAGUCUUCUGAUGAUAAACUAGGACAAAAAUUCAAUUUCUAUUUUUGAAACUUUACUUUUCUGGCAAAUAAAACCUCUUUAUAAUAAUAUUUGUUUGAGAUAAUUUUCUUUUUAGUUUUGAUAUGAUUUCUGGAGCCUGCCCGAAGCACAGAGCGAAUAAAUGGAAAACCAAGCAACAAAGUGAAGAAAUUGAAAGUUAAACAGAUUGAAAAAUAGUAAUUCAGGAGCCCGCCUGAAGAAUAGGGUGAAGAAAUUGAAAGUUAAGCAAUGAGGUGAAGCAUUGGAAAACCAAGCAACAAGUUGAAGAAAUUGCAAGUCAGGAGCCGGCCUGAAGACUAGGGUGAUGAAACUUAAGUCAGGAGUCCAACAGAAGCUGUAUAGAUAGGAUUUUUGUAAUUUCAUUUAUGUUUUAACUUGUAAUUUUCAUUUUUGAUGUAAUGAAAGAGCCGUGGACCGGAGCCUCGACGGGACCUCACUCGACUCUCCAACUCGGUCGUCCUUCUUCCUUUUGUUUCUUCCCUGUGAAUAAUGGUGGGGUCAAAAUUCUAUCUCGUUGUCUACUUCUUUGUAUGAAAACACUUUGUGUUUACCUGCAAAGAGGGGCAUGAUGUAGACACAUAACUUUGUCCCUCCCCGAAAGCAUUCUUACCAUUUUACCCUCGUCUUAGUGUGUGCCCUCACCCGUGUGAUAACCCUUCACAAAAAGACAAAAAUAACAAUUCCUAACUAAUUUUAUCUUAUUCUAACAACCCCUCCCUAUUAAAAAAUAACACAUCACCCUCAUCACUUCCUCUGCACGUGACCUUCCCUUUUUAUUUCUUGUCCACAAAGCAAAUAAAAGGACCCAGAAGCAUAUUCCCUGGAGGGGAGACUCACUGUCACUCUCAAGACAAAAGAACCGACUGCAAUUCUCACAAAAAAGGAGAUACAAUAUUAUACAGAUAAGGGUCUUCAAUAUUUUUUCUUUUUGAUCAACAAAAUACAUAUACACAGACCAAAAACUUCAUCAUCGGGGAUUUUUUUUUCCAUUUUUGGAUACCCAUCACCAUUCCAUUGGCUGAAAUAGAAACACACACAGAUCGGAGAGAGAUUGGGAGAGAAGAGAAAAAAAGCAAGAGAAAGAGAGAGAGAAGCAGCGAUAGAAAGCGAGAGAGAGAAUAGAGAAUCAUGAGAGAGGGAUAGAGAGGAGAGAGAUAGAACGAGACACAAUUCAGGGUGGAAGAGAGCAGCGCCUCCACUGUUAAGCUUGCCGAAGCUCCGACGAUGCUACAACAGUGAUCGAAGCAUGCUGGAAAGCCACUGAAUCCGACAUCCAGUAUCGAUUCCGGCAACUAUCCAUCAAAAAGCGACCAAAAACAGUAUCGAGUGUGCUAAUUAGGUACGAUUGGUAGGGCUUUGUAAUCUUUGCUUUGGGUUGCGGUUUUUGCUUUCGUGAAUUCGUGUUUGGGUCAAAUUUUGGGAUUCUUGCGGGUGAUUUAGUACGAAGUUGGUGAGUCCUUUGUUGAGGUUUGAUUUGAGGUUCUUCGGCAUGGUUUUUGUCCUUUUGUUGAAGCAUUAUUGAAUUUCAAAACCUUCAAAUCGAGGUCUAAUUAUCUUUCUUCUCUUCUUUAUUUCGUUAUUUGUUGUGUUCUAUGCUUUGAAUUGAAUCCGAUGUGUUGGUUGACCUGGUACGGCGGUUGGUGGAGCAAUAUAGGGAGAGGAAGAAGGAUUUGUACAUGGUGUUCAUCGACCUAGAAAAGGCGUACGACAAAGUCCCCAGGGAGGUGCUCUGGAGAUGCUUGGAGGUGAGUGGAGUACCGCAGGCAUAUAGCAGAGUAAUUAAGGAUAUGUAUGAGGGAGCGAAAACCCAGGUGAGGACGGCGGGAGGAGACUCAGAGCAUUUCACUGUCCUGACGGGAUUGCAUCAGGGAUCUACUCUUAGUCCCUUUUUGUUUGCGUUAGUAAUGGAUGUGUUGACGCGGCGUAUCCAAGGGGAGGUGCCGUGGUGUAUGCUUUUUGCAGACGAUGUAGUCCUGAUAGAUGAGACGCGAGGGGGUGUGAACGACAAAUUAGAGUUGUGGAGGCAAACUCUGGAGUCUAAAGGGUUCAGGGUGAGCAGAACCAAGACAGAGUAUGUGGAAUGUAAGUUUAAUGACGUAAGGCGAGAGAAUGAGGUAGUGGUGAGGCUAGAAGCGCAGGAGGUAAAGAAAAGGGAUAAGUUCAAGUACCUCGGGUCCGUGAUCCAGAGUAACGGUGAGAUUGACGAGGAUGUCUCGCACCGUAUCGGGGCGGGAUGGAUGAAGUGGAAACUUGCAUCGGGGGUGCUGUGUGAUAAGAAGGUGCCGCCCAAGCUUAAAGGUAAAUUCUAUAGGGUGGUAGUCCGUCCGGCCUUGCUGUAUGGAGCGGAGUGUUGGCCAGUUAAGAACUCCCACACCCAAAGAAUGAAGGUGGCAGAAAUGCGGAUGUUGCGCUGGAUGUGUGGACUGACCCGAAGGGAUAGAGCUCGGAAUGAGACUAUCCGGGAGAAGGUUGGGGUGACUUCAGUGGAGUGUAAGAUGCGGGAAGCACGAUUGAGAUGGUUCGGACACGUGAAGAGGAGGGGCAUGGAUGCCCCGGUCCGUAGGUGUGAGAGGCUAGCGUUGGAUGGUUUUAGACGGGGUAGGGGUAGACCGAAGAAGU
Molecule: long non-coding RNA, 60942 nt
Filed under: Capsicum annuum
Lineage: Eukaryota; Viridiplantae; Streptophyta; Magnoliopsida; Solanales; Solanaceae
Description: long non-coding RNA (CANN_LNC012142)
Source: RNAcentral